CUUGCCGUGGUCUCUGCGAUGGCUUCGGUACGAACACGUGCAAUUCCGUCAUUGGCAUCGCCCCUGCUGUCCUGAACAAUGUCAACUUCUUCUUCACGACGUGCAAAGUGAGGGUCUCUGGGCUGUGCACGCCCCUCUGCGUCAAUACCUGCAGCCUCAACACCGUGACGCCGGCCAGCCCGCCGCCACCACCAUGCAAGCCAUAAUUGGUCCAUGCGUAUUACUGCAGCAUGAAUGUCUCAAGUAAUUCAAGUCCCGGCCGUAGAUCCGGGCAUUUGCGUUCCAUUUUAAUUUCCCUUUAAUUGUGGUGUCACCAAGUACUAGUCAUCAUUGUGCACACCUCUAUAUGUAAUUUUAUUUGAAAAGAUUAUUACCUAUCUUGAGAAAUUUACUGCUAUUAUUUAUUUUUACCACGAUAUAUUUACCUGCAUUGUACCUUCCACCACAAUACUGUGGGUUAAUUUUUCAAUUUCUCUAUCUUCUAUCUCUUCCCAAAAGUUUGAUCUGAUGUGCAACCCUAUUUCUCCUAAUUUUCAUAUACAGGGACUGGAUGACAAGUUCAUUAUAAACUCCCUCAGUCAAUGGUGCUCAUUAGAAAAUGUUAUACAUGCUGGUAUGCUGGUGUGUAUGCAUGUAAUAUCGCAUUAACUACUACAAUCGAAUGAAAUGCAUGCUCAUCUUACUGUAAUGCAUUCAAACGACUCUAAGGGUUUGUUUGUUUCCCUCCUAGAUUAUAUAAGCCGGAUUAUGAUUCAAGGGUAGGAGGAUAAAAGAUCAUUAUGGGAUCACUAGGGGACAAUAUAUAAUCUGAAAUAAGCUAGCCUUUGGUAGCUUAUUUCAGAUUAUACGUGGUCCCAAAGUGAUAUUUUACUAUAGUACCCAAGACCCAUAAUCCAACUUAUAUAAUUUAGGUGGAUUAUAAUCCCAAACAAACAGGACCUUAUUCGUGUGUAAUUUAUCUUAUACCUUCUAAUGCGCUUGAGUUAUAGAAAGCAUGUGCGACUCAUCACACUGCUUGCUGCGUCAGCCACGCUUGCGAACGUGCGUGCUACUUGCACCACGCUGCUCGUUAGCUAGCAGUUUGUAGCACUAAGGCCAUGUUACCAUUUUCUAUCAACGAAUCAGCAGCACGCAUACACGUACGUGAUGGAACAAUUGUGUACAGCGGAUGCCUAUAUCUUGCUAGCUAGACUAAUAGGAGAGAGUACUUUUGGAAUGUCGAUGCUAAUCAUAGCGAUCAAAAUGCGCUAAAAAAAUUGAUAAAUCCUUCUUUUUUUGUUAUCUACCAUUAUAUAUGAUUCCUUAUGGUAUUUGGCUGCAUGGAUGGAAUGAACUUGGGAAUAUUGAUAGGAUUAACAGGAACACUAGGUGCUAAUCUAGCAGGUAAAACACUUAGAUUAAAACAACAUUGGACCAUAGAUCUACAACAGGGGCUUCCUAUUGGGGAGAGUGAGAGGAUGACCGACUGUUGGGCUUCAUCGGCAAGGAGGACACCAUGGCAGUGUUGGUGAUGGCGACGUUAACACAGAGGCGGAGGCGGCGCGGUUAGGUGUUGGCGGUGCUUCCCGCCGCUGAUAGUGCCUCCACUAGAUUGGCUAGGGUUUGUUGGUGGGUCUUGUGGGUAUGGUGAACCUUGGAUUGCGUUCCCCCAGCCCGCACCUUUCCUUUUAUUUGGCACUGCAUGACAGAGGCCCACCAACCAUGAGUUGGUUGUGCGCCCCCAAUCAGGGCGCGAGAUAAGGCUCGGACUCAUAUGUUGGGAGAUCAAACUAACAUUCUCCCUCUUGAUCUCACCUUUCAUUUAGACUUAGACUUAAACUUAACUUGGCAGCCAUUUCAUCACAGAUCAGUGUGUAGAUCAUGUCUCAUCAUAAUAGCUAGUUACGUACUAUCAAAUUCAACAACUACAACACACCUUUCUGUUUUGAAACAGAUUCUUGUUCUAGGCCCUUAGUAUCCAGGUAUCAUAGGCUUUUGUCACACCCGGUUUUAAAACAAAACCAAGUGCUACCUAUAUGUAUGCCAGGAUCAAGUUUCAUACAUAUACUGACAUCAUCAGUGAAUAACAGCAACAGUAUCACAUAAAAGAUACAAGUAAGACUUACGACAUUAUCAGAGAUACACAGCUUAAACACGGAAUCGGAGGUUCCAAACUUCACAGGCAAACGACUGGGGGUUGCGUACGCCUAGAACUCAGCAUCAUCUUCACAACUUCACACACCUUCUUCUUCUGAGCAGCGAUAAGCAAGGGUGAGUACACUUAUGGUUGGUACUCAGCAAGGCCACAAGAAAUAACCAGAAUAGUGAUUUAACUCCAUCUUCAAGUAUAUUAAUCAUGUGAGGGUCUAGGCCGCUCUUGACCGUGAGCACGGCUGUUAUAACAGUUUUACACUCUGCAGAGGUUGUACAUCUUUACCCACAAGUCGCGUAAAAGUUCAGAAGAACUUUAGACCCAACCAUGCUGUGUAAAAGUAGGCACAAUACCAUACUUCCGAGGUGUGGUUGCAUAGGGACGCUACGAGGCCUUUACAAAGAUUCACUAGUAAGUGGUAACCCGCUAAGAUUUCAGGUCGAAGCAGAGCAUAACAGUCCCCUAGUGAGUUCAGUAUCUUAGCAAAGCCCACGUCCCAAGAGAGCGAGUGCUAUACCCCAUCAACGCCUCCCCUCUUGCCCUUUCGGUAAGAUUACCCCAGACUAGGGUUUCUAAUUAUUCAGCCAAGACCAGAGCCAUUUAGUCUUGUGGUAGCACUGUUUUCCUGGGUGGUCGCUCCAUGUUCCAAUUAAUGCAAGAUAUUCUUGUAAAUAAGCAUAGAUAGAAGGAUGGUUAGGGACACUUGCCUUUCUCCAACGAAAAGUUACUCUCACUGCUCUUCGGCUCCUGCUCUCUUGAAACUCUUAACCUUCAAAUCUUCCGUGCAGCGAUCCUUCUACUCGAAGCAAUCACCGGCACAAACAUACAAGCAAACAAACAAGUACAACUAAGAACAAUACACCAAACAAAAGAAAGCUUUAAAAGAGCGUACUAAAGAAUAGGGUGCAAUUCUAGGAUUACGUGAACGUAGGAAACACUGAAACGGAUCUAUGGUUGAAAAGAUAGAGCUAUCGAGUGAUUUGAAUUAUAAAAGAAAAGACAAGAGCUACAAGCUUCAUUUAUUUUAGUUGAGAAAAAUAAUAUAAAGAUAUUUCAGAGAAAUAUCCUUAGUUAGAAUUAAUCAAGUCAUAUUUAUAUUUUCAUAAGAAAAGAAGGUGUAAAUCUUAGUCCAAUUUUAUUUAUAAAUAUUUAUGUACAAGUUAUACAAAUUAAACAUUUAAUUUGAAAAUAAAGUAUAUGAACGUCUAAGCGCAUAACUUUAUGAUUUGGAUUGAACUAACCAAAUUAUAAUUUAAAAACAUAUUUAUAUCCAUAUUAGCCAAAUUAACAUUUAAUUAUGAAAAAUCGAGAUAUAACCUAUGCAACUUUUAUUUAGAAAAUGAAUUGGAUAAAUAUUAAUCAAAUUGAGUUUAAUUUAUGAAAAACCGAGGUAUAACUCUAAUUGACUUUUAAUUAGAAAAUGAUAUGAAGUAGGCAUUAGUCAAAUUGAUGUUUAUUAUGAAAACGGUGUAGAUCACUAAACAGAUUUUAUUUAGAGAAGAACGCGUUUAUUAGGCAUUAAUCAAUUUUAAUAUAAAAUUUAUUUUUAAAAAUAUGCGUGAAAACAUUACUACUAACAUGUAAUUUACGUUAUUAUGAACCUAACGCAACUUGAACGAAUAAAAACGGAGUUAAAACGUGGAUUCUACGAGGUACAGAAGGUUGCAGGGCCCUAGUCAUAAUUAACUAUAUACGUCAGGGGCUAGCAAGGAAGAUUGGCAAGACACAUGUAAUAGCGCUUGAGAUUUGGACAAAGCUCAGGGUUAGAUCUAGAAAAGUGUGAGUCCCGGCUUAGAUUGAAAGAAACCCGAAAGAUUGAGGGUUUUUCUGCAAAGUUGCAAAGACACAAGGAAAAGAUUACUAAUUACAGAUUCUUUCGGAGAUCCAUUUGUAAAAUGGCUUAUCUCCUUCCUUGCGGACGGGGCAUCUUUGGCCAGACAACUACCGGCAGCGACGGCCGAGGAAACGCAGGCGAGCGUGGCCGGCCCGAUGCUAGCUUCUGGCGCGUGCGGAACGGCCAAGGCAGGAGCACCGCACGGCAACGGGGCCGGCAGGCGGCGGUGCGGCCGGCUUCCAGGCAAGGACGGCGGCGGCGCACGGUACUGCGUCCCGGGGUGCCUCGGCAGCGGCGCAAACGGCGCGCAGCAGGGCGUCUCGGCGGCGCGGGUGGUAACGGCGGCGGCGGGCAGGAGCAGGCGGCGCGUGCGGCUCGGGAGGCGAGGCGAGGCCCUAGGCGGCGGCGGCUCUCAGGGGCACGGCCAGGCCAUGGCCGGGUGGAUGAACAGGAACGGACCGAAUACAGGGGAAAAAAAAGAUUCUGCCGAUAACGUCCCCUAGUCUUGCGAUUGAACGGCAAAGUCUUGCGAUUGAACGGCAAAACGGAACAGGGGCGACGAGAUGAACGCGUUGAUGUGCUCACCUUCGACCGGGGAUGAACGAUGGUGGCGGAAAAGCUUGCCGGAGUUCGAGAAAAGCUCGUCGGAGUUGAGGAAGACGACGGAGCCGACACCGGACUCGCGCAAUCCACCACAUCACGGUGUAGAGCUUGAAGAGAGGAACUCCGUGGUGGUGUCGAUGGAGCUCGGAGAGUCAACUCGCGAAAAUGUUUUUAGAUAAUCCUCACGUCGAAUGAACGCGGUGAUAUGUAUAUAGGCUGGGUUUGGGAAAAGAUAUUUUCGGGAUGACUUUUAUUUUUGGAAUUUCUGAUUUUAUUUAUCUGCAUGAAAACAAUUCUGGAAAUAGCCGGACUCGUUUUCUAAAGCAAGAAAAAUAUCUAGAAACUUCGAAAAAUCCCAAGAUAAAUCUCAGAGUUGAAAUAGAACACAAGGAAUCCAAAUAAAAUACUUGGAGCUCGUGAAAAGGAAUCUAGAGCCUUCCAAAAAUUAGAUUUAGCUCUAGGUAAAUGAGAAAAAAUUCCCGAAAAAGAUGGAAAAUUCUCAGAAGGGCCUGGACAACGUCUAAACGCAUUUUUGAAACUUUUACACUUAUGUAACACCAAGAUGCAUCGGUCAUAAAUGCACAGACACCGAACAACAUUAUUUAAUUUAGAAAAUCAAAUAAUUAUUUUUUCCCUAUACUAAAUUUCUUGCAAAGAAAAAGAAAAAUUGGGAAAAUUUUAAAUUGAGAAAAUUAUUGUUUAUUUAUUCUUUUUAUUCACAUCCUAAAAUUUGAAAAUUUUAGAGUGUGACAGCUUUCCCGUAAACCCAUGCCGACUAAGUGUUCUCUGAGCAUAUUGGGCGGUAAGCCUUUUGUAAGCGGAUCCGCGAGCAUUUCUUUGUUCUUAUAUGCUCUAAACUUAUGGUAUGAUCCUGGAUUCUAUCUUUCACAACAUAAAACUUAAUGUCAAUGUGUUUGGCAGGACCACUUGACUUAUUGUUGUGAUCAUAGAAUAUUGUUGGCUCAUUAUCAUAGUACAUCUUGAGUGGUAUUUGAAUGUUGUCUACCACUCUCAACCCGGGUACAAACUUCUUUAACCAGUUUGCCUGCCCCGUGGCCUCAUAGCAUGCUACAAACUCGGCAAACAUCGUGGAUAAUGCUGUGACGGUUUGCUUGGAGCUUAUCCACGAUAUAGCUCCACCUGCGAGAGUGAAUACAUAACCUGACGUUGAUUUUCUAUCGUCUACAUCUUCCGCAAAGUCUGAAUCUGAGUACCCUUCGGAAUCAAUUCUUCUAUACGUUAGCAUGAGGUCUUUCGUGCCUUGUGUAUAAUGCAAUUCCUUCUUUACCAUUUUCUAGUGAUCUAUUCCUGGAUUAUCUUGAUAUCUGCCAAGUACCCCGUAACAAAAGCUAAGUCAGGGUGCGUACACACUUGAGCAUACAUUAAGCUUCCGACAGCUGAAGCAUAUGGAACCACUUUCAUUUGAUCGAUCUCAUAUUGGUUCCUGGGACUUUGAAAAUUUCCAAAUCUAUCGCCCUUGACUAUGAGAGUAGGUGUAGGUCUACUCGCAUGCAUGCUAUACUUCUUCAAAAUCUUCUCUAAGUAAGCCUUUUGCUAUAAUCCCAAUACCCCAUUUUUUCUAUCUCGGUGAAUUUCAAUUCCUAAAACAAAUGAAGCUUCACCAAGAUCUUUCAUAUCAAAGUUUGAGGACAAGAAUUUCUUUGUCUCCAGUAGUAGACUAACAUCACUACUAGCAAAUAGAAUGUCAUCUAUAUACAGGAUAAGGAAAACGAAUUUCCCACUCUUAAACUUUGCAUACACGCAAUUGUCCUCCUUAUUCUCACUAAAUCCAAACUUUCUUAUUGUCCCAUGAAACUUCAGGUACCACUACCUGGAGGCUUGUUUUAAUCCAUAAAUGUAUUUCUUCAUACGACAUCCAUAUGUUAUUUUCCUUCCAUGACAAAACCUUUGGGUUGUGCCAUGUAAAUAUUUUCUUCUAGGUCUCCAUUGAGAAAAGCCGUCUUUACAUCCAUCUGAUGUAACACUAAAUCAUAGUGUGCCACUAAAGCUAUUAUAAUUAUGAAAGAAUCCUUACAUGAGACUGGAGAAAAUGUCUCAUUAUAGUAUAUUCCUUCUCUUUGUGUGAAACCUGUUGCGACAAGUCGUGCUUUUUAUUUUUUGACAUUCCCUUUGGAGUCACAUUUUGUUUUGUAGACCCAUUUACAGCCUACUGUUUUGGCUCCUUUAGGAAUUUGUUCUAAAUGCCUGACUUUGUUGCUACUCAUGGAUCUCAUUUCAUCUUCCAUGGCUUCAAGCCACUUUGAUGAGUGAGAACUUCUCAUGGCUUCUUCAAAUGAGGUGGAAUCUCCCUCCACUUGAACUUCUUCACUGACAUAGACUUCAUAGUCAUUAGGAAUGGCUGGCUUUCUUCCUCUUGGAGACCUUCUGGGGGCCUCAACAUUUGGCACAUCUUCCAUGUGGGGCUGUUGCAACUCUUCCUCAUGUGUGACAAUAGGUUCGAUAGGAUCCUGAAGGAUAGGUUCCUCAUCUUCAUUCAUUGUUGCCACAGGAGAACUAACAACAAGUGCUGUAGCCACAAUGUCCUGUACUGUCAGUGCAGCAACAACAUGUACCGAGAAAAAAGGUUCCUGAAUCAUCGGAGUGGGUACAUAUACCCACUUCUCUUCAAGGUUAAUUUCUCGAGGUACCGUACUCCUCCUAAUCAUCUCAUCUUCUAGAAACACAAUGUGUCUCAUUUCUACAAACUUAUUAUGUAUGUCAGGACAGUAGAAAAGAUAACCUUUUGACUUUUCAGUGUAGCUAAUGAAAUGACAACUAACUGUCUUAGGAUCUAAUUUCUCAAUGUUUGGGUUAAAGACUUUAGCCUCAACUGGACAGCCCCACACACGCAAAUAAUUAAGUGAGGGCUCUUAUCUAGUCCACAACUCAUACGAUGUUUUAGACACCGACUUACUAGGAACCCGAUUAAGGAUGUGAAUGGUGGUUUUUAACACCUCCAUCCACAAACUAACUGGUAAAGUGGAGUAACUAAUCAUGCUUCUCACCAUAUCCAUUAGGGUACGGUUACGUCUUUCAGCUACUCCAUUCUGUCUAUGCUAUUUUCCUUUAGAAACCUUGCAAAAGGUCCAGGAACUUGUCCAUAUGGGGUAUGUCGACUGUAGUACUCCCCCAUGGUCGAUUCUUACCAUUUUAAUCUUUAAACUAAGCUAAUUUUCUACUUCAGCCUUAAAUAUCUUGAAUUUAUACAACGCUUCUGAACGCUCUUUAAUUGGAUUAAUAUAACCAUAACACGAAUAAUCAUUUAUGAAUGUUAUAAAUGAAUCAUAACCAUCCACAGAUGUCACAGGAAAUGGACCACAGAUAUCCGUAUGAAUUAUUUCUAAAAUUCUUGCGCUUCUUUUGGCGUCUUUCAUAAUUUUCUUAAUGAACUUUCUCUUAAUGCAAUCCAUGCAUUGAUCUAAAUCUAAAAAUUCUAAAGGCGGAAGAAUUGAUUCCUUAACUAACUGUUCUAUUCUCCUCCUCAAAAUAUGGCUAAACGACAGUGCCAUAAUUUCGAAGAUGCAUGAUCAAUUCUUUCCCGCUUAUUCUUUACAUUCAUAGACGAGGAGGCCUUCUAAUUCUCAGCGCUUACAACAUUCACAUUCUCAAAAAGUGAUAAUAAAUAAAGCUCAUCUUGUCUGAAGGCAAGACCAAUAAUCUUAUUAUUAAACUUGAUUUUACAUUGUCCAUCACCGAAAUGACAAGCAAAACCAUCAUCAUCUAAACGCGAUACACUUAUUAAGUUCCUAUGCAAAGAGGGUACACAAAGAAUAUCUCUCAAAUGAAGUACAAAACCAUUUGCUAAUUCUAAUGGGAGUUCUCCAAUGGCUUCGACUUCAGCUUGGACGCCAUUUGCAACUUUAAUGCUUCUAUCUCCUCUUUGCAGGGUCCUCCUCGUAUGGAAUCCCUGUAAUGAAUUUGCAACAUGAACAAUUGUACUUGAAUCAAUCCACCAAGUAUAUUUUGCAUAACUUAAAUACAAGGACUCAUCUACAAAUGUAAUAAGAUCCUCACCUCUAUAACACAGAUGCUUUAGGAAAUCCACACAGCCUUUCUGGUAGUGUCCUUUCUUCUUGCACCACUUGCAAGUGUCCUUGUCCACCACCUCUUCAUGGUUUGAUCUUUGAUGGUGAUCAUACAUUGGAGCCUUUCCAUGUGCCUUAGAAGAAGAGGCGUUCCACUGAGGUUUCCCUUGUGGCUUAGAAUUCUAAAAAUUGCUCUUAUUGUUUUGGCUUAGGUAAUUGAUAGUAUCACCGGACGAGCCCUUAAGACUCUCUUCUUCUUGCACACACAUGGCAAUCAUCUUCUUAAUACCCCACUUUUUAGGCUAUGAGUUGUAAUUCACAGCAAAGGUCUCAAACUCUUUGGGCAGUGAGGUAAAGAUUAGAUGGACUAUAAACUCUUUUGGAAGCUCCAUUUCCAUAGACUUAAGCUUGGAAGACAUAUUGUUCAUUCUCAAUAUGUGAUCCCUUAUUCCACUGCCAAUAUACUUAAUAGUAACAAGCUAUCUUAUGAGAGUGCUUGCAUAUGCCUUUGAAGAUCCAGUAAACUGACUCUCCACAUUUGUCAAGUACUCCUUAGAUCUACAACACGUACUUCCUAGAGGGGAGAGUGAGAGGAUGACCGACCGUCGGGCUUCAUCGGAGGACGCCAUGGCGGUGUUGGUGACAGCAACGUUGACGCAGAGGUUAGGUGUUGGCGGUGCUUCCUGCCACUGACAGCGUCUCCAGUAGAUCAGCUAGGGUUUGUUGGUGGGUUUGGUGGGCAUGGUGAACCUUGGCUUGCAUGCCCUCGGCCCCCACCUUUCCUUUUAUUUGGUGCUGCGUGAUGGGGCCCCACCAACCAUGACUGGUUGUGCGCCCCCGAUCAGGGCGCGAGAUAAGGCUCGGACUCGUCCGUUGGGAGAUCAAACUAACAAAUACGAGUGAGCGAGUGAGCGAGUAACACUUUAUCUUUGGAUAUGAUCCCAAAUUACAUGCUUUUUUUUCCCAGGUGCAUAGUUGUAUGAUGCUUGAGCUAUAGCAUUGCCAAAUUCAUCACUGCUUUCCCUAUUACACAGGUAUUUUCUUCACAUCAAAUGGAUCCACUAGCCAAGCUAUUAUUUUUUUGUUGGAGAUCGAAAAGAUCUGUUGCAUUGAUUCAGAUUGAAUUUACUACAAGCUUAGAGGGUGAUCCUGAUUCGGGCGUGCAGCAGGCAAUCUUGUUUAUCCUAAUUUUAACUUGUGUCUCCAUGCAAGAUAUGUUAAAGCAGCAAUAAGCUGCAUAGCCUGGCAUUAAAUGCGCACUAUAUGUGCAGAAACUUAUAUUUUCACUCAAAGAUCACAGCGAUUAGGCUCGAGCUUGCAACUCAGAAAAUAGAGAGGCUGGAACAAGCGAUCAAAGGCUGCGAAUAACACUCAGAAUAAGCUAUGCUCAGUCUAAACCCCCUCCGCGCAAAAGGAUGAACGGUGGGGUGACAUUUUUCAAAUCGAAAAUUCAUCUUGUCCUUUCGCACGAAGGCUUUAGCCUCAGCUAAAACUAUCGCAGCAACGCAAGAAGGUGACGUUUUUCAAAAAGGCAUCCUCACUCCCCUUUUUCCUCAGGUCCUAGGCUCGAUCCUGACUAUGAUUUAUGUUAGCUCACUUACAAUGCUCGAAAAGAGCAUGCCAAGCUACAAAUAAACCUCAUAGUGUAAGCCACGAAGUCGGUAACACCAACCCAAACCAGCAACCUUGUAAAAUUUCAUGGUUGAAGCAACUAAGGGUGCGAUAUCAACCAAACUGCAGUUACUUUUUAAGUCAACAAAACUCGAAAAUAAGUUUUUCGUUGACUUAUCUUGACGAUUAUCAAGAUUCACCUAACCUCGCUCCAAGAAAAAGUUAAGAAGGGUGGACUGACAUUUUUUGGAAAAAGUAAAGCUUGUUAAUUCUGUCUUUCGCUGUCUGUUCCUAAAAAACAAAAAUUUUCAACAGCAGCAUCUAAGCUCAUUUUUUCGUGGAAAAGAAUGAAAAGGGGGGUGACAUUUUUUAACAAACAAAAUCGUUAUCAUCCUCUUUCCACGAAGAAACAACCUCGAGUAGGACCUGCGAGCAUGCGACAUGGGGUUACAUUUUUCAAAAAGUGCUUCUCAUCCCUUUGUGAUCAGAAUUUUGGCCCAAAGCCAACAAGCAAAUUCCCGUCGCCUAACUCAAGAAACUGGCACAAAACUAAAAAUCUACGCGCAAAGGAGCAAAGGGGGUUGACGUUUUUCAAAAAGAAAAAGCAACCCUCGCUCCUUUGCACUAUAAAUUCAGUUAAACAAACAUUUAAAGACCGAGGUAAAAAGAAACCGGCAAGGAUAAUCACGUUAGAAGCAACUAGUCUAAGCACGAGUUCUGACCAAGCAAUCAAUAUUUACAAGCCUGGUCUACAAAAGCAGCCCCAUAAGUAUCAAAUGUAUCACAGUGAUCUCAAUAACAAGCAUCAGCCCCUAGCUAGCUCCGACAAGCUACUGCUCCCCUUGAUCAGCACCUUCCUCCCCGCCUUCACCUUUUGCUUCCUCCUCCUUGGUCUGCGGAAACAUGAAGACCAACAUCAGGUGAAAUACGAGACAAAACAAAACAAAAAAAAACUACGACCUUUGCAAGCCGCUCCUGAGCCACCAGCCUCGUUUACUCUCACCCAGAAGUAGCCCAAAGCUAUUUGAAAAAAAUUCAUCUUCGUGGCCCUCACAUUUUUUUUAUUUCUCCCUUGCACCAAGUUCGGAGGCUGAGGGGAACUUGUAGGAGUGGGCCGCAACUGUCAAGAAAUGAGAGCAACUAUUCUCUUCAAGAAGCUGGAACAUGCUAUCAAAGCAGAACGAGGCUGCAAAGUCGCUAAUACUGAUUAUAACCGCAGGCAGGCCUUUGAUUUUCUCAUCCAUCCAAUCAAACAUUGCCUUAGCAACUUCAUUGCUUGGAAAUGGAAGAGGCUCUGCACCGAAAUCGACAAGAGCAGCCUUGUAUCCUUCAUAAAUCUCGGCAAACCUUUUCUGAAUAAUCUGCUCCGCAUCCUCAAUAAAGAUCUUCAGCUGCAGAAGCUUUUUGCCGAGGACAUGAAUGGGUUGGCCUCAGGGUGCAGAGGGGGCGCAGCAACCUUGGUCUGAGCUUCCGUUUGAGGGACGCUUGCCUCGGGAACUGAAAAAGGAACCACAGAUAAGUCCACAUCUAGAACAACAUCAUCAUCAAUGGCCUUGCCGAUGCGCCGGCAGACUUGAGUUCGGAUUUUGUCGCAACCGGGACAACUUUGGAGACAGGGGGCGCGCAGGAUUUUGCAACCUCGCUCGAAGUGCCUUGUCCAAGCUUUUCUUUCUUCUUCUGAGCCUUGAGGCUGGAGGUCUUUAGUUUCGCUUUUGCAGCCUCGAGCACAACGAUCGCUUGGCUGUCAUCCUUCUUUGAAGUCCCUUUCGUGACCUUAGGAGCAAUCCUCUCGACUUUCCUCUUUUUCCCUUUGCCACUGCCACCAGCCUGCUCCGAGCCUAUUGUGCUAUUUUCUCGCAUCCGUUUUGAAAUCUUACAAGGUUUGGGGUGAGGCGCAACCUCGACCCCAAGUUCUUCAAACACACGAUUGACUUGAAGCUCGUGUGCGACGAUCCUCCGGGCUGAUGACAGCUCAGUCUUAGUGCAGGGGCCAAUAAUAUCAAUGUCAUGUCUCUCAAUAUCCUCUGCAAAAAGACCGGGGUUGGCACCCUUGGGCAGCUCCACCCCGAAGCGAGGGCAAGGGAGUGGGCUAGUACUCCACGGAACCUCCUUCGGCACAAUCUCCAGCAGACACCACCCAUUGGAAAGGGGCCAGAUGUUAGCUGCCACAUACUCUUCAAUGAGAUCCCGCCCGGGGAUCAACUUCAAGGCUAGGAGGAAAGUGCACUCGUGUUCCUUGACUACCUUGGACCUCGUAAAAGCAGAGGUAGUACUAAUGUCCAUAGGGCCUAAGGGAGCAUAGAAGGGAUAGAAAGGUCGGCUGAUACCAGACGCAUCGGCCAUGUCAAUCUUGAUAUAGAACCAGUAGCUUAGCCAAUCGUCUUCCCACCUAUUCCUCUAUGCAUAAGAAAGCUCAAUCCUCUUGAUUCCCUGCUUCUCAUUGUUCUUCCUCUGAGUCACGAAGGUACAACACCCAAACCGUGUCUCAAAAAUACCUUCCUCAUCAUCGAACAUAACUCUCUUCCUCUGGAUAUGGAGUGAUAUUUUACCAUAGUAGCAAAGACUCAUAAUCCAACUUAUAUAAUUUAGGUGGAUUAUAAUCCCAAACAAACAAGCCCUUAUUCUUGUAAUUUAUCCUAUACCUUCUAAUGCGCUUGAGUUAUAGAAAGCAUGUGCGACUCACACUGCUUGCUGCGUCAGUCACGCUUGCAAACGUGCAUGCUACUUGCACCACGCUGCUCGAUCGUUAGCUAGUAGUUUGUAGCACUAAUUAGGUCAUGUUAUCAUUUUCUAUCAACGAAUAUAAUCAGAAGCAAGCAUACACGUACGUGAUGGCACAAUUGUGUACAGCGGAUGCCUAUAUCUUGCUAGACUACUAGGAUAGAGUACGUUUGGAAUGUCGAUGCUAAUCAUAGCGAUCAAAACGCGCUAGAAAAAAUGGAUAAAUCCUCCCUUUUUUUGUUCUCGACCAUUAUGAUUCCUUAUGGUAUUUGGAUGGAAUAAACUUGGGGAUACGAGUGAGUGAGCGAGCAACACUUUAUUUUUCGAUAUGAUCCCAAGUUGCAUGCUUUUUUUUUCCCAGGUGCAUAGUUGUAUGAUGCUUGAGCUAUAGCAUUGCCAAAUUCAUCACUGUUUCCCCUAUUACACUGGUAUUUUCUUCACAUCAAAUGGAUCCACUAGCCGAGCUAUUUUUUUUGUUGGAAAUCGAAAAGAUCUGUUGCAUUGAUUCCGAUUGAAUUUUACGACAAGCUUAGAGGUUGAUCCUGAUUCGGGCAGCAGGGCAAUCUUAUUUAUCCUAAUUUUUAUAUGGGGUUACUGAAUCAUUGCGAGCUCAUUAUGAACUGCCAGCAGUAGUCAACGGUACUCCUGCUAGCACCAAAUCUUUUAAUUCUAUUAUUGGUGUGGGUGUGGGUCAACCUGUUUACGUGUUGCAUGCGCGCUACUUGCACAACGGUACAUGAACUGAGGGGGGAACGUUGUUGAAAGUCUAGUCAUUCCUCACCGACCAAAUACUCCAGGUCAUCAGGAUAGUGAUCUCCAUGAAGAAGGGUACAUUCAGCUUGUGUUGGAUGGAGCUGAGUAUCCGGAGUGGAUGUCUGGUUGUAAUCGUUGUUACUCCAAUGGAUGACCAGCAGGUAUAGGAAUGCAUCUGAAAAAGAGAUGUGCCCUUGUCUUUCUUUUUUGAAGGAUGCAAAGCUCACAGGUAUAGGAGUCAAGGCUCAUUGUUUUCCUACCUAUGAUAUCCUUGUUACUUAGUCUGUCUUUAAUUAGCAGCCUGAAAAACACAUUAUGUUUCUUUUGGUAUUUCGACUUCCACAGCCAUCGGUGAAUUGGGUGGACACUUCUCGUGCCCGUCAAGGCCUUGUAAGUUUUCACAACUGAGAAGAGGGGGUUGCCCCAGAUGUAGGUCUACUAAUCUCUGUCCUGCUGAGUGACAACAUUCCUCAGUCUAUUUUGCAAAGUAGCUGUUGAUGGGCUUCCUCCAAGAGUGGCAGAUGGAAGUUGUGAGAUAGGGAAGGUCUGCUAAUGGCCUCUUUGUAUGUGAACAGAUGGAAGUUGCGAGUUAGGGAAGGUCUGCUAAUGGCCUCUUUGUAUGUGAUCAGCUUGUUUUUAGCAAACGAAAAGAGCUGGGGAAAUUCCAAGGAGAGAACUUGCUCGUUCCAAGUGUACAUCCAGAAUAAGACAGUGGAACCAUCCUAUUAACACCAAAAUUUGGAAAUAUGCUCUGGAAAGAAGGAAUCGGCCGAUGAUGCAGAAAAAUGACAAAAUCUCCUAAAUAAGGCUAUUUGUGAGCUGGCCAUAGAAAUCAGGAACAUGUGCAUGAAGAAAGAGAAAGCAAGAAAGCUAGAGGAAUAAAAGAAGGAAAUCAAUGCACGCAUGUACACGGCAAGAGUUCCAACAAUUUGACAUCCAAGGGAAGCGCACGUACGGGAGGUUAUCUUAUAGAAUAAAAUAUUCUGGAAAUAGGGUUGGUUAGGGAUAAGCUUGAUUAGAGAUAGAGUUGGAUUAGUUAGAGAUAGAGUUUUGAUUAGAAAAGAUUGUGAAUGUGACAUGCUUUGUACAUGGUUAGAUGCCAACUAUGUAACGUCAAAGGCCGUCCGUCCUAUAAAUAUAAAGGGUCGUGGCCAUUGUAAGACAUCACACGAUGAAGACACCAUAUUUACCUUUACGCAUCUACCUUUCAGCUUCACGCCAUUGCCCUAGGAGUAGGAGUAAUGUAGCUUCUUGACGAGUUCCUUCUAGCAAGCUGGGCUGCAUCAACCUCGAUCUCCAGCAAGAUGCAAGUUCCCAUCAUCAGGUGUACUAGACUUCAACUUCCGGCGUAUCGCUAUCGUUGGGUCUGGUUUCAUUUACCAGUUAUCGAGUAUCUUGGAUCCUUGACUUAUGGCACACUGCUUCUAUCUUGAUCUACGGUAUUCACAAUUAUCCUACCUUGAUUAAGUUUGCAUCGGCUGAUAUUUAUCUGUUCUAUCAUCUUACCGUCUAGUUUGCUUUAAUUAGCUCUAGAUCAUAUCAUCGUAGACGAUAGAUCACUUAAUAAACUGUUGCAUCUUAAUCUUGGUUACCCCUCGAGUGUUGUUGGAAUAGAGUUCUAUUGUGAUUGGAUUCAUCGGCUGGCGGGGUCUAAAUUGAUGUCCUGCUGAGUGUUUCUAGGCUACAACUACCGGGCGCAUCGUUGUGGUUUCACCUAGAGAUAUUGGUAGUGAUGUUAGUUUGAAUCUCAUUGGCUUGUGGCUCUGGCUAUGGUGGAGUGAGAGCUCGAUGGAGCUCUAUUUCCUAUUGGCUUUCUAGCCGAUAGUUUUUGCUAUAUUAUGGUGAAUUGGCUUCGAUAGCCGAUGAGACACCCAUGCUCAUCAAGAUAUUGGAAUCAGCUUCAUAGCCGAUACAUUUAUUCACUAUGCUUUAUUUUGCUACGUCGUCAUCAUCGCUGGUGCCAGGAUCAUAUCAGCGUGAUCGGCCGAUUUCCUUGAACUUCGAGAGGAUUAUUUUCACCUUGUCAGUUGAAUGGUCAAACUUACUGGCACGCCUGCGUAUACCACGCGCACCGAUCUACAACCUGUACUUGAGCGAAGCAGUACUCUCAGGUUUCGUGUGUUAGUACGUGAAGGUCACCGCAUGAUUUUUGCAUCAACACACUUUCCGAAACCCAUACUAAGGCUAUUCCUUUGUAUUUCUCCAGUUAUUUAACUAUGUCUUUGCACCAGAAUGAGCCUUUUUGUUUAUGUCCAGGCAGUUUCCCAUUAUGAUAGUAGUUGUCUCAGACUAAAUGUACCCAUGGGAUGUCUGCCUUCAUGAAGAACUUAUGGAGGAACUUGAGCAGGAGAGCCUCAUUUUGGCUAUUCAGAUUAAUGACUCCAAGUCCUCCUUGCUGUUUGGGCAGGCAUACCAUAGGCCAGGCCGCCUUGGAUGGCUUUUUAGAUGACAAGUCAGAUCCUCGCCAGAGGCAAUGCUUCCUAUAUUUGUCCAAUUGAGAGAUGACCCCUUGUGAAGCUUCAGAGUAGCCAUAUGGAACAUUGGUGAGGACGAGAACACCGAAUUAACCAGCUCUAGUUUGCCUCCGUGGGAUAGCAUGUUGGAGAUACCCCCUAUCCUUCUCUCCACUUUCUUGAUUAGGGGUAGAAAUUCCUCAAUAUUAGGCAUCGUUGUUCCUAGUGGGAGUCCCAGGUAAGUGAAAGGAAAGCUUACAACCUGACCGUCAAAACUGAUGAGAGUUGUUGUAGUUUUUCCUCAAGAGUGUUCAGGGGGACCAUAAUAGAUUUGUUGUAAUUGACCUUAAAUCCUAUUGAGUUUGCAAAAAGGUUUAGCAAAUGCUUUAGAUGCAGCAGCUGAACUGGGUCAGCUUCCAUGACCAGUAAGGUAUCAUCUGCAUAUUGGAUAACUAGGAAAUCUAGACUAACUCUUUUAGGUAUUGGCAAUAGUAAGCUUCCUUCCUCUUUGGCCUUAUUCAAUAUAGAUUGAAGGAGGUCCACUGCUAGCACAAAGAGGAGUGGAGACAGCAGAUCCCCUUGCCUAACCCCUCGUCUGUAGUGGAAGACUUUUCGUGGUACUCCAUCGAGUAGAAUUGAGGAUGUUCUAGAACCCAGGAUGUCCUUAAUCCAUCCUUUCCAUCUAUCCCCAAAGCCCUUGUGUUUUAGGAUGUCCAAGAUGGCUUGGUGUUCUAUUUUGUCAAAUGCCUUCUCAAAGUCAAGCUUGAGAAUGAUGAGCUCCUUCUUGGAAGUCUUACAAAUGUGUAGAUAUUCAAAUGCUCAGGCUAAACAAUCUUGAAUAGAUCUGGAUUUUAUGAAACCAUAUUGGUUUCGAUGCACUAGUCUUAGGAUGAUCUUCUGAAGCCGUUGUGCUAGGAUCUUGGUUAUUAGCUUGAUGGUUGAGUUAAAGAGGGAGAUAGGUCUGAAAUCUCCGACUUCCAUGGGGCAAUCUUUGUUGGGGAUGAGUGUGAUGUAGGAGGCAUUGAUACUUUGAACACAUACUCUUUUUUCGUAGAACCCCUCACAUAAUUCAUAGAAGUCUUCAGCAAUUACCUACCAGCAUGUCUUGAGGAGUUCCCCAUUGAAGCCAUCUGUGACAGGUGACUUGUUGCUUGGAAGAUCCUUGAUAAUUUGGUCAAUUUCUUAUUUUGAGAAGGGAUCUUCCAGCCAUUCUAAAUCCAGAACUGGUGUCAAAAGAGAGGGGAGUUCAAAGUACAUGUGGGUAAUUAAGAUCUCAUCCUUUCUUUGUAAGCUUCCCAAAGGAGGCAAGCUUUAGCUUCAUGAUCGGAGAAAGACUGCCCAUUGGCAUAUGUUAGUGAGGAGAUGUAAUUGAUCCUAUUGUUGAUAGAGGCCCGAGCAUGAAAAAAUCUUGUACUUUCAUCCCCCAUUUUUUGCCCAGUUAAUAGAGUUUUUCUGCUCCCAAUAGACCUUUUGUUGACGAAGAAGGCUAUUAAGAUGUGAUGAUAUGAUUUCCCUAAAGUUCCACUCCUGCGGGGUGAGGUCUCUGGUUUCUUCGAUGAUAUCUAAGAACUGCAGGACAUCUUUUGUGUUCUGAAUUAUUUUGGCCAAACUGGGAAGUUGAGACUUCCAAGUCCUAAAAACCUUUCUCAUGGUUUUGAAUUUGGCUCUAUGUUCUUUGCCUUGUCAGAGCUGGGAAAAGGUGACACCCAUCCUUGUUGGAGAAUGAAAGGGGAUUGAUCAUGCUCUAGCCAGUAGUUCUCAAAAUGGAAGACCUGUGGUGUUGGUAGGCUAUUAGAGAUCGACACAAUGCAAGGGAUAUGAUCCGACGAGUCCCUGGAUAACGAGGGAAAAAUGUGUUGGGAUAAGUUAUAAUCCAAGAGCUAGAGAUGAAAAAUCAGUCUAGUCUAUCUAGCAAGGGGAUGAUUUGUUUGUUGGACCAAGUCUACUUGCAACCUUUAAGUUGUAUCUCUGUUAACCUAAGCCUGCUAAUUGCUUCCUUGAAGAGAAGCAUUUCCUAGACAUUUCCUCCCGGUUUGUUUUUGUCCUCUGGUUCCCUGAGAAGAUUGAAGUCCCCAACUAUUAACCAUUUUUCAUCCUCAGGCAUUUCUAUCCGUUUGAACCAAUCUAUAAAAGACAUCUUCCCCUCUGGGGUGCAAGGAGCGUAAAUAUUAGUGAGGAUCCACCUGUCUCCUUAUAGUUUGCAUUGUAGUUCGAUGGACUGAGCAAAGUUGUUUUGGAAGAUCACCCUUGAGCUUGGAGCCAUUCCAUGCUAUUAGAGUGCUCCCCGAGUUACCGGUGGACGGGAGAAAGUCAAACAGAUCUAGUUGGGGGUGGCAGAAAUUCUACUGUUUGCCGAGUGUCAUCUAGGGAACACUCGGCAAAGAAAAUUUAUAUUUCAUGCACCACUCUCCUCCUUCUUCAUAACGUGUUCUACUAAAUUUAUUACGAUGAACUUUGAAAAUACCUUGUCAAAUUCACUCAACAAUGCAUAAUUGAUUUUUCUAUGAAUAUGAUUCCAUUAGUUCAUGCAGUUAUAGCUCAAAUUCAAUUUAUAUCAAUUAAAAUUUUAUAAUUGCAGUUAAUAAAUCAAAAUUAUCAAACAGAUCCGGAAAAUUUACCAAAAUUUGACAUGAACCAAUCUAUGUUGUCUAUUGCCUAUACAAAAAAGUUUUGAAGUCAAACCCCAAUUCAAUCGUCAAUUUGACUCAAAAUAUUACGGGAUCCUUCUCAACGCUAUGAUUCUUCUUCGGAGAUGCUUCGGUUUGUAAGCAUCGUACGUGACAAAUUAUGUGAAAUCUUCUCAAUUGUUUACCACAGCCUCCACAUAUGAUAUCAUGAGAUCUUGACAAAUCUCGUGAUUUUCAUACUUCGUUUGAUUCUUUUAGAAUUUAAAAAUCAUUCAGCCACACGUUCAUGUUCGUAUUUCUAGAACAAGAUGUUCGAAAUUUCCUUUCAUUUCCUGGGUAAGGCCUCACACUGGACUCAAAAAUAUGAAUAUUAUUUUUCCACUCAUUUUAUUCCAUUAUUUGAAUCACUUAUAUAGCAAUAAAUUAAUUAAAUAUAGCAAACAGAUUGAGAAACAUAUCAAGGGGUACCACAUGUUGUAUGUGGAAAGUAGAAAAGUGUGGAGGGCAGGGGAAGGAAAAAACUUAUUAUUUUGUCGAGUGCCUGGUCCCAACACUCGGCAAACAUAGGUUAUUGCUGAGUGCCUGAUGAAAACACUCGGCAAACAUAAGUUGUUGCCGAGUGUUGCUAACGGACACUCGGCAAAGUUCUAACGGCCAGCACGCCGUUUGGCAAGCGUCGCAUGUGCCGGUCACAUGGUGGGUACUUGCCGAGUGUCCGUUCUUUGCCGAGUGUCAUAUUGGUUUUUGCCGAGUGUUUUCUCUUUGACACUCUGCAACUACGUUUUAUGUCGAGUGCAAUAUAUACGCCUAGUGUUUCCAUGGAGACACUCGGCAAACUCCUCCUUUGCCAAGUGCCCGAUGAAAUACACUCAGCAAAUGAAAAACACUCAACAUAUCUAUUGUUUCUGGGAGUGAGGUGUCAACAAGUUGCAAGAAGAGUAAAAUCUUCUAAGCACGACUAUUUGGGGGCUAUACAAAUCGAUCUCAACAGCACUAACCUUGACUGGCAUAUAGCCAUUCGCUGUUUGUAGAAAGCAUGUGCGACUCACACUGAUUGCUGCAUCAGCCACGCUUGCAAACGAUGCUACUUGCACAACGCUGUUCGUUUGCAAUCUAGCUGUAUGUCAGGGGGUCAACCGUGUUAACGUGCUAGGCGCUACAAGAAAUUUUAUGCCUAAAAGAAAGACCUCUAUAUAAAUCAUACAAGUUACCUCUUGAAAAGACCUCUAUGUAAAGCAUAUUCUAGUAAUGUAGUACUGGGUGAGUAAGGAUAAUUGCGGAAUGUAAAGUGUCCUCCGAGACACUAUAAAAGAUUCGGUCGUCGGUGUCGAGCCUCGCCCACGAGGGGCUACUGUUGGGGAUCGUCCAAAAAAGAUGGUCACCCUUGAGGUCGUUUUGUUUACCAUGAUCAACUCAGCCCCGCAAAAUAAGUAGCCUUGGGUGAGGGUUCCUAACCUCGAGGAACAAAUCUGGCAUGAAAGAAAGCUCUAACCUCGUGACGCUGCCGCGAGGUCAGUCUCGAAGCCGGGAAACAAUUACUGAUUGUCAAGCACUGAUGAAGCUUACCCUUGAGCGCUCAAAGCUGACUCCGAGCGCCGAGUUGUCCACUAUCUUAUGCAGGGUCGUUGAAACAAGCCGAGGUUCACGGCGCGGAGGUGGGGUCUCUUUGGCCCGAGGCUAAGGUGGUCUCGGGCCAGAGGUCAAAGUCAUGGAGGUGCUAAAAACGUGGGAGCAUGAUUCGCGGGACUUGCUGAGAGCGUGAUUCGCGGGAUUGCCUGAAGGCGUGGGAAGCAUGAUUAAAGGAGGAGACCAAGUCAUACAAGUUACCUCUUAAAAAGACCUCUAUGUAAAGUAUAUUCUAGUAACGUAGUGGGUGAAUAAGGAUAAUUGCGGAAUUUAAAGUGUCCUCCGAGAUACUAUAAAAAAGGAGAGCCCUACCCAAUGUAACGUUACAUUCAUUUUCAUGGAAUUGAAUCGCAGCAACUGAAACUUGUUUCCCAACAUCAGCACUGUUUCCCUAUAUUACACUUGUAUUUUCUGCACAUCAAAUGGAUAUGCACAUCAAAUGAGCUAUUAUUUCCGUUCGAAACCAAAAAGAUCGAUAUGUUGCAUUGAUUCAGAUUGAAUUUUACGCCAAGCUUACAUGGUGAUUCUAAUUGAAUUAUUUAUCCUAAUUUUUAUAUGGGGUUGCUGAAUCAGGCGAGCCCAUUAAUUAGUAACACAUCUUGAUGUGUCGGCGGGUCAACCGUGUUAACGUGCAUGCUACUUGCACAACUGUAUUAUACUCUCACGAUGGACAAAUUUUCUGCCUACAAAUAGCGCAUCUGCAUUGCUAUCCCAACAUGCACUUCUCCUCCUCUCCAUCUGAUCUCUUCCUAUAGCUAUAGCUGCAACAACUAGCUAGUCCUGAUCACCAUGGCUGCCGCGAUGCUCAAGAUGGCCAUUGUUGCCGCCUGCAUCGCGCUGGCCCUGCUCUCCAUGGGUCCGCCGGCGGCGAUGGCGGACAUCCAGGACGACUGCCGCGCGACUUGCCGUGGUCUCUGCGAUGGCUUCGGUACGAACACGUGCAAUAACAUCAUUGCCAUCGCCCCUGCUGUCCUGAACAAUAUCAACUUCUUCUUCACGACGUGCAAAGUGAGGGUCUCUGGGCUGUGCGCGUCCUUCUGCGUCACUACCUGCAGCCUCAACACCGUGACGCCGGCCAGCCCGCCGCCACCACCAUGCAAGCCAUAAUUGGUCCAUGCGUAUUACUACAGCAUGAAUGUAAUUCAAGUCCCGGCCGUAGAUCCGGGUAAUUUGCGUUCAAUUCUAAUUUCCCUUUGAUUGUUCCGGUUGUCGUGUCACCAAGUACUAGUCAUGCAUUAUUGUGCACACCUGCAUAUGUAAUUUUAUUUGAAAAGGUUAUUACCUAUCUUGAGAAAUUUACGGCUAUUAUUUUUACCGCGAUAUAUUUACCUGCAUUGUACCUUCCAUCACAUUACUAUGGUUAAUUUUUCUAUUUCUCUAUCUUCUAUCUCUUCCCAAAAGUUUGAGCUGAUGUGCUCCUCCCUCCUCUCGGACACAAUUCCACUACUGGAUACUCCCUCCAUUUUUAUUUAUAAGGUGCACACACAUAUCAAGAUUCAAACUUUGCAAUCUUUGACCAAUAACAUGACCAUUAAUCUUUUAUUUGUAUAAUAUAAACUUUGUAUGGUUGGAUUCAAAAUCAAAUAUACUCUACUGUGAUUAUAAGUUUAUAAUCAUAAGUAAUAUAAUAUAAGAAAAAUGAAUGUCAUCAAAGUGUUAUUUAGAAGAUCGUGCCAAAUAAUACUAUACCUUAUAAAAAUAGAUGGAGGGAGUACUACCCUAACUGCAUUAAAUAGAUCGUUGAUGUUUCGCCACCAAAACCCCCAAUGUUGAUCUUCCACCACCAUGGCUAGAGGCACAACGCCACACAACCCCCACCCUACCCCCCCCCCCCCACUCCGAUGCCUCCAGCAGGCUAGCAUACGCCCAUGGUCUCCCCCUAAGCGUGCGCCUCAUCCAACCUGAACCCUAAACAUCGCCAAUAAAAAUUGGACAACAUAGCUACAACCCUCGACUGUAUGUGGUCGCAGAGGCUUGAUAUUUUUUUUCCACUUUCUAAAAAAACAAUAGCAAACCCUGCCGAUCGUGAUAUGGACAGUCAGCAACCCUAUUUCUCCGAAUUUUCAUAUGCAGGGACUGGAUGACACGUUCAUUAUAAACUCCCUCAGUCAAUGGUGCUCAUUAGAAAAUGUUACACAUGCUGGUACGCUGGUGUGUAUGCAUGUAAUAUCUCAUUAACUACUACAACGAAUGAAAUGCAUGCUCAUCCUACUGUAAUGCAUUCAAACGACUCUAAGGGCCUGUUUGUUUCCCUCCUGGAUUAUAUAAGAGCAACUCCAAGAGUUCCCCAAAAAAUUCUUCCCCAAAACGAGGUAUUGGGAGCUAUGCUAAAAAUUUUUUCCCCAAAAAACAUAUCAGCCCGGAGCAGAUCGCUAAAAACUACUCCUCAAUAAUUUAAAAGAGGCCACGUCAUCGGAUUGGGCCAAUUAGUAUCGGUUGAUUUUUUUUCUCUAGUACCGUGUCCUGAGCCCGUCAAAAAUCCUUCUCCGGUACCCUAUCACGCCGCCUGCCUGUGCGCACGGAGGUCCCACGCCGCCACCCCCCUGCGCAUGGUGGACUAACUCUGGCAGCCCCUGCGCGGCAUUCCUGAUGCCAGCAGGCCUGCAUCCUGCAUCCUCCGUGCACUGCGCUGGAUCAAAGUAAUGAUUAACUUCGCAGCAUCAUUUUCAUUUUGUCUUUUUGUUGCGAUCAGCUUUGACAUGCUAUAAUGAGGAUUCUAUCGUAAUGAGGUUUUUGUGGCCGCCAAUACCUAGGAAAAACAGUUCCUUCGAUCACCAACUUGAAUUGAAGAUAGGUAAAAAGGAAUUGCUAUGAAUCGAUGAAGCCUUUCGAUGCAUCUGGUGUUAGAUUCGUCGUCAGAUAAUGACGAUGAUGAUUUCUUAAUCUCUAUCAUAGGUCGUCAAGUACUUCAGCGAGAUAGACAGGCAGGGCAUCAAAGGUUGUAUCAAGAUUAUUUUUCAGAUGAUCCUACGUACGGACAUAGUUAUUUCAGAUGACGGUAUGUAAACAAUAGAUUUAUUUGGACCAUUUUUUCAAAAAAUUCAUAUUAUACAUGUGUCUCAUUACUCUUGACAUGCAGGUUUCGAAUGAGGCGUACACUGUUUGUACGCAUAUGGAAUGCCGUAGAGCAACAUGAUGAAUAUUUCAUGCAGAAAAGAAACGCUGCCGGUGUACUUGGCCUUUCUAGUCUGCAAAAGAUUACUGUAGCAUUUCUGAUGUUAACUUAUGGAGUAGCAGCUAAUGCUACAGAUGAUUAUGUCCGUAUCGGUGAGAGUACUGCUAUUGAGAGUCUGAGAAGGUUUGUCAGUGCUGUUGUUGAGGUUUUUGGAGAUGAGUACUUGAGAUCACCUAAUGAAGAUGAUACUGCUAGAUAACUUGCCAUUGGAGAGAGUAGAGGUUUUCCUGGUAUGCUUGGGUCGAUUGAUUGUAUGCAUUGGAGGUGGAAAAAUUGUCCUUUGGCAUGGCAAGGUAUGUAUACUGGGCAUGUGCAUGAGCCUACAAUUAUACUUGAAGGUGUUGCAAAUAAAGAUCUUUGGAUUUGGCAUGCUUUCUUUGGGAUGCCUGGUUCCCACAACGACAUCAACGUUUUGCACCGGUCUUCUUUAUUCGCACGGCUAGCUAAAGGUCAAGCUCCAAAGGUGAAUUAUACCAUUAAUAACAAUAAAUAUACAAUGGGUUAUUAUCUUGUUGAUGGCAUAUAUCCCUUGUGGGCCACAACUGUGAAGAGCAUACCUGAACCACAAGGUAACAAGAAGAAAUAUUUUGCAACUGCCCAAGAAAUUUGUAGGAAGGAUGUGGAACGAGCGUUUGGGAUUUUACAGUCUCGUUUCGCUAUCGUUAGUGGGGCAGCUCGAUUUUGGGAUCAAGACACCAUCGGACAAAUUAUGAGGGCUUGUGUCAUUAUGCACAACAUGAUAGUUGAGGAUGAGCACGAUGAGGAAGAUGAUUUAAAUUAUGAUGGGGUGGGAGAAAAGGUGAAGAUUUCUCACGAUGAAACACCUGAGCUUGAGGAGUUUAUUAAAAAUUACAAGAAUAUAAGGGAUAAAGAUAUUCACAAUCAGCUUCAAGAUGACCUCAUUGAGCACCUAUGGCAACAUCAUCCAGACCUCUACAAAUGAUUUGCCUAUAGUUCAUAGUAAAUGUUACUUUCAAUAAUUUUUGCUACGUUAUAAUUUUUUUAUAAUUUGAGAUAAACCAUACAGACAUAAACAAUUUGUUGGUACAUUACUACUAAUUUAUUGGAUGUUUGCAUACUGUCUCUUAAGUUUGUAGAGUGCAAAAUUAUGCUGCCUGACUUUACAAGGCAAACCAUGCAGUUUGCUUCAGAACACCACAUAAAGCAUCACUGAAUUACCAAACCAAGCAAGCCAUCAUUAUUAUAACAGAACAAGUCUGAAAACAGUGUAACACAUCUAGCAUCCGUUUAACUGUGUUCAUUAAUGCUCCUAACUGUGAUUAAGAACAAUCAAAAUAUCAAAAUAGGCAGUAAUGAACUAAUCAUUACAUCAAGCUGCAACAUCUGCAUGCAUAUCUACCUGACUUGGCACAACAUAGGGAGCUAUAGAUUGUCUUCUUGUUAGUCUUUGAACCUGAUUCUCAAGAUAUUUUGGUAUGCCGUCUCUCAGAGGCAUUCAGAGUCUCCAUGUAUUGCUACUCUAGUGUCUUCAUAAUUUCUCUUUCCACAACAGCAACAGCCUGAAUAUAAGAAAUAUCAAUUGAAUCCAUUGCAAUAGUACGCACAUUUAUGCUAUCAAUAAUUAAAAAUAUCAAAUGAUGUGUAGUUUCAGAUUCUCCAAAAUGAGACAUAAGCUUGUCAACAAAAUCUCAUAUGUUCAAAAUUGAAUGGCUUCAAUGCUGUUCCUAACUUCAAAGUAUCAACAGGAAAAAUUAAUAUUCUUACAAGAUGCUUUGCUAUUGAGUUGUUGUUCAUCUCUUUCUGUAUCCAAGAUGGCGGUCCAAUCUCAUAGACAGCCCUUGUCCUAUUUUCUGUUCGAUAUUUGUUCGAGAAAAUAAAUGGCAAUGCCGUGUUACAACAAUCCUGGGCUAAACAGGUCAAGACUCAUUGCCAGGUUGGGCAUCGGAAUCAGGCUGCUUCUGGUGGCUGCUGCCAUCGCUGUCGUUUUGCUCAUUCAUAUCCUUAUUAGUAUAUUAUGUUUACCACACAUAAAGAAAAAAUAAGAUUGAGCAUUUCAAAGAUGAUCCCCAUAACUUAUCCACCAACCACAAAUUUAAAAAUCAGUGUGAAGACCCUAUAGCUUGCUGCUAGCUAUUCUUUUGUUGUUUACUAAGUUUAAAGGACGGUGUUCAGAGGAACCCAGGAAAUUUUUAGCUGAACAUGGAAAAUGGAAACAACAGGGCAUCAAAUAGUUUGUCUCUGGAAUUGCUACUUCAAAAUGGUUAUCUAGAAUAGCAUUAUCAAUACAGUGAAUAUAAAAAAACAGUAUUUGGUUCUACAAAGCAAGAAAUACUGUACCAACUAAACAAGACAUAUCCUCAAAGAUCAAGAUUUUAGUAUAAUUAUUAUACUUCAUAAAGAUAAGCAAAUACAUGUCGAGGGACUGUACCCUUUGAUCUCCUCAGGCUGAAUAAGAUAUGCCAUUCUGAGAACUGCCUGCAUAUUGACAGAUUACACCCAUCAUCUUAUGAAAAUAGAUAUGCAAUUCUAUUAGUCUUUAUCAUGAAAAAGAAACAAGUCCUCAGAUGCCUACCGUCUUCCUUUCCAUCAUUGUCCUUUGAGUGUGAAUCCUAUUACAGCAAAAUUACUCAUACGUCUGAAAGAAGUGUUAUGACAAGAAAGAAUUCUCCGCGCAUAUGCCAUGGAGUGGUGUGCAACAAGAGGGAAUCAGGGAAUCAUACCUGCUCGGGAGGCUCGGGGAAGCCUUGCUGCUCGGAGUCGACGGCGACGGCUCGAUGGAGACUACCAAAGUGCCGCGGCGGGUGGGAGACGGUGACGGAAGGGGCUGGACAGGUGCCGGGCGCGAAGCAGGCAUGGGAGCAGGGCAGCGCAGUGCGUGGCGGCGCGGGGGCCAUGUAGGGGUGGUGGGAGAGCGUCUUUCCACCAAAAUGAGCCUUUUUGUUUAUGUCCAAGCAGUUUUCCAUUAUGAUAGUAGUUGUCUCAGACUAGAUGUACCUAUGGGAUGUCUGCCUUCGAGAAGAACUUAUGGAGGAACUUGAGCAGGAGAGCCUCAUCUUGGCUAUUCAGAUUAAUGACUCCAAGUCCUCCUUGCUGUUUGGGCAGGCAUACCAUAGGCCAGGCCGCUUUGGAUGGCUUUUUAGAUGAUAAGUCAGAUCCUCGCCAGAGGCAAUGCUUCCUAUAUUUGUCCAGUUGAGAGAUGAACCCCUUGUGAAGCUUCAGAGUGGCCAUAUGGAACAUUGGUGAGGACGAGAACACCGAAUUAAUCAGCUCUAGUUUGCCCCCGUGGGAUAGCAUGUUGAAGAUACCCCCUAUCCUUCUCUCCAGUUUCUUGAUUAGGGGUAGAAAUCCCUCAAUAUUAGGCUUUGUUGUUCCUAGUGGGAGUCCCAGGUAAGUGAAAGGAAAGCUUCCAAUCUGACAGUCAAAAACUGAUGAGAGUUGUUGUAGUUUUUCCUCAGGCGUGUUCAGGGGGGCCAUAAAAGAUUUGUUGUAAUUGACCUUAAGUCCUGUUGAGUCUGCAAAAAGGUUUAGCAAAUGCUUUAGAUGCAGCAGCUGAACUGGGUCGGCUUCCAUGACCAGUAAGGUAUCAUGUGCGUAUUGGAUAACUAGGAAAUCUAGACCAGCUCUUUCAGGUAUUGGCAAUUGUAAGCUUCCUUCCUCUUUGGCCUCAUUCAAAAUAGAUUGAAGGAGGUCCGCUACUAGCACAAAGAGGAGUGGAGACAGCGGAUCCCCUUGCCUAACCCCUCGUCUGCAGUGGAAGACUUUCCCUGGUACUCCAUUGAGUAGAAUUGAGGAUGUUCCAGAACCGAAGAUGUCCUGAAUCCAUCCUAUCCAUCUAUUCCCAAAGCCCUUGUGUUUUAGGAUGUCCAAGAUGGCUUGGUGUUCUAUUCUGUCAAAUGCCUUCUCGAAGUCAAGCUUGAGAAUGAUGAGCUCCUUCUUGGAAGUCUUACAAAUGUGUAGAUAUUCAAAUGCUCAGGCUAAACAAUCUUGAAUAGAUCUGGAUUUUAUGAAACCAUAUUGGUUCCGAUGCAGUACUCUUAGGAUGAUCUUCUGAAGCCAUUCUGCUAGGAGCUUGGUUAUUUUCUUGAUGGUUGACUUAAGGAGGGAGAUAGCUUUGAAAUCUCCGACUUCCAUGGGGCAGUCUUUUUUGGGGAUGAGUGUGAUGUAGGAGGCAUUGAUAUUUGCACGCAUACUCUUUUGUCAUAGAACCCCUCACAUAAUUCAUAGAAGUCUUCAGCAAUUACCUGCUAGCAUGUCUUGAGGAAUUCCCCAUCGAAGCCAUCUGGGAUAGGUGACUUGUUGCUUGGAAGAUCCUUGAUAAUUUGGUCAAUUUCUUCUUUUGAGAAGGAAGCUUCCAGCCAUUCUAAAUCCACAACUGGUGUCAAAAGAGAGGGGAGUUCAAAGUACAUGUGGGUAAUUAAGAUCUCCCCAUCCUUUCUUUGUAAGCUUCCCAAAAGAGGUGAGCUUUAGCUUCAUGAUCAGAGAAAGACUACCCAUUGGCAUCUGUUAGUGAGGAGAUGUAAUUGAUCCUAUUUCUGACAGAGGCCCGAGCAUGAAAAAAUCUUGUACUUUCAUCCCCCAUUUUUUGCCCAGUUAAUAGAGCUUCUCUGCUGCCAAUAGACCUUCUGUUGAUGAAGAAGGCUAUUAAGAUGUGAUGAUAUGAUUUCCCUAAAGUUCCACUCCUGCAGGGUGAGGUCUCUGGUUUCUUCAAUGAUAUUUAAGAGCUGCAGGACAUCUUUUGUGGUCUGAAUUGUUUUGGCCAGACUGGGAAGUUGAGACUUCCAAGUCCUAAAAACCUUUCUCAUGUUUUUGAAUUUGGCUCCUAUGUUCUUUGCCUUGUCAGAGCUGGGAAAAGGUGACACCCAUCCUUGUUGGAGAAUGAAAGGGGAUUGAUCAUGCUCUAGCCAGUAGUUCUCAAAAUGGAAGACCUGUGGUGUUGGUAGGCUAUUAGAGAUCGACACAAUGCAAGGGAUAUGAUCCGACGAGUCCCUGGAUAACGAGGGAAAAAUGUGUUGGGAUAAGUUAUAAUCCAAGAGCUAGAGAUGAAAAAUCAGUCUAGUCUCUCCAGCAAGGGGAUGAUUUGUUUGUUGGACCAAGUGUACUUGCAACCUUUAAGGUGUAUCUCUGUUAACCUAAGCCUGCUAACUGCUUCCUUAAAGAGAAGCAUUUCCUUGACAUUUCCUCCCGAUUUGUUUCUGUCCUCUGGUUCCCUGAGAAGAUUGAAGUCCCCAACUAUUAGCCAUUUUUCAACCUCAGGCAUUUCUAUCCAUUUGAACCAAUCUAUAAAGGGCAUCUUCCCCUCUCGGGUGCAGGGAGCGUAAAUAUUAGCGAGGGUCCACCUGUCUCCUGAUAGCUUGCAUUGUUGUUUCGGAAGAUAGGCUGACCCUUGAGCUUCGAGCCAUUCCAUGCUAUUAGAGUGCCCCUCGAGUUACCAGUGGAUGGGAGGAAGUCAAACAGAUCUAGUUGGGGGGUGGCAGAAAUUCCAGAUGUAUCUUGUGUCAAAAGAUUCAUGUUUAGUCUCAUGUAGACAAACAAUAUCGUAGUUGGACUCAGAAAUUUUACUUUUGACUACGUUCCAUCUUGUCUGGGAGUUGAUGCCCCUAACAUUCGAGGAUAACAUGUUCCAGGAUCUUUUUUGGUUCAUUUGGAAAUGGUGUGUGCUUGGUAAUACCUUACUGCCGGCUCAACAAACAGUGGCAAAAUAAGCGUGGAAAGGAUAAACCUUGAACCAAAAAGCCAAAAAGGAGGGGAUGAACCCCUCAAAUUCUUUGAAGCAACACAACCACAAUAAGGUAAAUCCCACAUUAACCAAACAGCAAAAUAACUAUUCCUAGGAAGUUUAAACCACCAACAUAGUGUGAUUUGCAACAUAAAGAUAAAUGAAAGAUACUUGUCUUCACUAAAAUAGACCAGCUGGAAGAUCUAACCAUGUCCCAGAUCCCUAGUGCUUCUUGAUUGUAUCCCAGGCGUUGUCUGUUUUGGCCCGAUAUUUCUUCGCUUUCCCCUUACGCGGAAUAUCCACCGAGGCCUUUUCCUUUCCAUCUCCAAUGGUCUUCUGAGAGGUGGGCUUGGAGAUCAAUAGAUCAUCAGUGGUUCAGGCAGAGUCGAUGCCACACACCUGCCCACCUAGGUCUUGAAUGCUUGAAGAAGAGAGAGAUGGUGGUGCUGCAUUGCAAGCGAGGCAGUUUCUAUCCUGGCAAUUUUUUUUGCGAAAUCCUCCCCUUCUAUCUUUGAGCCUAUUGCUUCUCCCGAUGCUAGACUCAACUUCCAGCACAGCCCUUGCUCCCAAUCUAGCCCUAGCUUUCUUUGGAGCCUUUUGUUUUUCUAGCUCAAGUCCGAUUCCUUCAGAGGAGAAGAAGUACCAGUCUCCUCCUACUCAUUAAGAAAAAUAACCGGGCUGCUACUGAGACACAAAGAACGGAUGGCGAAGGCCGUCAUGGCAAAUGAAUCAGUGCAGCUUAGCAAUGCCUCCUUGGCUCUGGAGGCUAGGAACUUCUUGGCCGAAUCGAAGUGUUGGGGGGAUAGCAACACCACUAUGAAGAAAUUGGCCCAAUGUGUUGGUAUGUGAACCACCUACUCAAGAUAUCCUACAGGAGAGAAAACAUGGGCCCAAAUCAUGUAGACAUUUGGAUUUUGACUUGGAGCUGAGGCCCUGGGGUGGUAAUGUCCUUGAUGCUAGGUCCAUCUGUCAGAGGAACUGAUUGUCUGAGUCUGCCUAAGAGAAGGUCCAGGUCAUGUGUGUUUGGUUGAACUGGGGUGAGGACCAUGUUGACAUUAAGAUUAACCUAAAAAGGGGCCUCCUAGGCUUGAUUUGGCAAAAUGCCCUGCUGUCCUGGGGGGAUGCCAGGCAACCCCAGCACCACAUCCUGAUCCAUCUCCAUAUCAUUGAGUUGAGCCCCAUCUUGUUCUGCAUGGAAGUCCAUAUUUUGGCCCAAUGGGGGCACUGCAGCCACCACAUCAUCCAAUUCCAUAAUCUGAUUGUUGAGAACCGGUGGGUCUUGCACGGUAGCUUGUGGAACCCUUGAAUUAUAGAUCACCACUGGAAGAGGAUAAUUGUCAGGAGCUGAAGAGCUCGAGGAGUUGGUUGGAGGAGACAGGUUAAGGUCACUGGUGGAGGGAGAGCCUGCACUCCACUCUCAACGACAACUGUUUUAAUAUUCCAAAAAUUUGAAAUAUUAUCAUGGUUGUAAUUUUCUCAAAAAUUUGAAAACUUUAUGUAUGGAUGUGUGCGUGUUGCAAACUACUCUAUCUCUCUCUCCUAAAUUCUAAAUUUGAAUAUGUGUGGCAUGAUUUGGAGUUAUGGAUCUUAUUUGGAGUUCUUGUUUGAGUGUUGUAUAAAAGCAAACUCAAUCCCUAAAUUCAAAUUCAUAUUCCAAAUUCAAAUAUGAAAUCAGAUAAAAACAAAAGCAAAACAAACUCCCUCAGCCAGGCCAGCCUACCGGCCCAAAACUGCUUUAAGCUCAGCUUGCCACGCUAAGUAACCAGGCCGCCUUCGGCCCAACUUCAACCACUGGCCCGCCUACCCUCUUUCCUCUUUUCCAGCUGCAGCGGGCCACCCACCUUUCUUUCUCUUUUGGCCCAGCCCAAAGCAACCAGCCCUCUUAACCCUUUCCCCUUAGCUUCGUGGGCCGCUCUUCCUUUCCUUCAGGCCGGCUCGCAGGCCACUUUCUUCUUCCACAAACCGCCAGCCCAGCCCGUCUCGAUCUCCCCUCUCCUGUUCUUCUUCAACCUCGCACGGACGCAAAAGCUUCACGCACAGGUGCACUACCUCGCAGCUGGGGGUGGCGUGUCCCGCUUCUGGAGGCUUCCACCAGGAGCUUCUGCUACCCCUACUCCACCACCUAACCCCGCUCCCAGGGCCGUCAGAUGCGCCGCAACGGGCUCCAGGUGCGCAACCCUAGGAUCAACGUCCGGGCUACUCUAAGCCCCUCCACUGCCUUGGCCAGGCUAUAAAAUGGGGCUUUGGGCAUGCCCUAAGGCCAUCCCAUCCGCUCCAGGGGCUGCCUGUCCACCACCGCCACCCAGUUGAGAGGAGGGCCGAGUUGAGAAGAAGGGUUGGGAGGAGAAGGAGGAGGCCCUGUCGGAGGAGUCGCUGCCGUCCGCGGGAGAAAAAUGGCUCUGUCCAUGUGAAGUGCCGUCGCCAACUUCUUCCUCCUCGCCGCCGUCUACCUCGUCUACUCUGCCGCCACCUCUUCUUCCCCUUCACCGAGACAGCCUCGUAAGCCUCCAAGAUCUCACCUUUCCCCUCUCUCCUGACUACCUGAAACCCUAAAGCCAUGGCCUUUGUGCUACCCUUUGCCUGCUCCGCCUGUGGAAGCGCUUUGUCGCCACUAUCCUUGCACUUGAGCUCGCGUGCACCUCCUUGCUUGCUCUGGCCUCGCUACUUGCGCUGCUCGCCUGGCUUGCCUUUGCCGUUUUUGCGUGCGCCAACUCUGCUGCUUGCCUUUGCAUGCACCGCGCCCGCACACCGCUCGAUCGUGUGCCCACAUCCAACUAACGCGACGUCGCGCGAGGUUCGCGGUCACCGCGGCCGCUGGCUGCGGCAUCGUGACACUGGUUUGCGGUCACCGCCUGCGCGUCGCGCCGCACAGCGUGUCGUUCGCGCACCAUAGCUCGCCGCCUGCCCGCCGUGCGCGCUCCGCACCUCGCCGUGACGCGCCACGGCGCGCCAACACUCGCCGCCGUCGUCGCAAGCCACGUGGCCACCCCAUCACCGCCAUGUGAUAGGUGGGGGCCCACCUGUGGGUCCGCUCGUGGGGCGUACCUUGUGGGGCCCACUGUUGACCUGUGGGGCCCAUGCGUUGACAGUUGACCAUUGACCCAGUAAUGCUUCUUUCUCCUCUUUGCAGGGUCCUCCUCGUAUGCAGUCCCUAUAAUGAAUUUGCAACAUGAGCAGUUGUACCUGAAUCAAUCCACCAAGUAUAUUUUGCAUAACUUAAAUACAAGGACUCAUCUACAAAUGUAAUAAGAUCCUCACCUCUAUAACACACAUGCUUCAGGAAAUCCACACAGCCUUUCUGGUAGUAUUCUUUCUUCUUGCACCACUUGCAAGUGUCCUUGUCCACCACCUCUUUAUGGUUUGAUCUUUGAUGGUGAUCAUGCAUUGGAGCCUUUCCAUGUGCCUUAGAAAAAGAGGCGUUCCACUGAGGUUUCCCUUGUGGCUUAGAAUUCUAAAGAUUCCGCUUCUUGUUUUGCCUCAGGUAAUUGACAGUAUCACCGGGCGAACCCUUAAGCCUCUCUUCUUCUUGCACACACAUGGCAAUCAUCUUCUUAAUACCCCACUUUUCUGGCUAUGAGUUGUAAUUCACAGCAAAGGUCUCAAACUCUUUGGGCAGUGAGGUAAAGAUUAGAAUGGACAAUAAACUCUUUUGGAAGCUCCAUUUCCAUAGACUUAAGCUUGGAAGAUAUAUUGUUCAUUCUCAAUAUGUGAUCCCUUAUUCCACUGCCAAUAUACUUCAUAGUAACAAGCUUUCUUAUGAGAGUGCUUGCAUAUGCCUUUGAUGAUCCAGUAAACUGACUCUCCACAUUUGUCAAGUACUCCUUAGAUCUACAACAGGGACUUCCUAGAGGGGAGAGUGAGAGGAUGACCGACCGUUGGGCUUCAUCAGAGGACGCCAUGGCGGUGUUGGUGACGGUGACGUUGACGCAGAGGUUAGGUGUUGGCGGUGCUUCCCGCCACUGACAUUAGGUGUUGGCGGUGCUUCCCGCCACUGACAGCAUCUCCAGUAGAUCAGCUAGAGUUUGUUGGUGGGUUUGGUGGGCACAGUGAAUCUUGGUUUGCGUGCCCUCGGCCUCCACCUUUCCUUUUAUUUGGCAAUGUGCGACGGGGCCCCACCAACCAUGACUGGUUGUGCGCCCCCGAUCAGGGCGCGAGAUAAGGCUCGGACUCGUCCGUUGGGGCGAGUCUGUUGGGAGAUCAAACUAACAAAUACAAGUGAGCGAGUGAGGGAGCAACACUUUAUCUUUGGAUAUGAUCCCAAAUUGCAUGCUUUUUUUUCCUAGGUGCAUAGUUGUAUGAUGCUUGAGCUAUAGCAUUGCCAAGUUCAUCACUGUUUCCCCUAUUACACAGGUAUUUUCUUCACAUCAAAUGGAUCCACUAGCCAUGCUAUUAUUUUUUUGUUGGAGAUCGAAAAGUUCUGUUGCAUUGAUUCAGAUUGAAUUUACUACAAGCUUAGAGGGUGAUCCUGAUUCGGGCGUGCAGCAGGCAAUCUUAUUUAUCCUAAUUUUAAGUUGUGUCUGCGUGCAAGAUAUGUUAAAGCAGCAAUAAGCUGCAUAGCCUAACAUUAAAUGCGCACUAUAUGUGCAGAAACUUAUAUUUUCACUUAAAGAUCACAGCGAUUAGGCUCGAGCUUGCAACUCAGAAAAUAGAGAGGCUGCAACAAGCGAUCAAAGGCCGCGUUAACACUCAGAAUAAGCUAUGCUCAGUCUAAACCCCCUCCACGCAAAAGGACGAAUGGCGGGGUGACAUUUUUCAAAUUGAAAAUUCAUCUUGUCCUUUCGCACCAAAGCUUUAGCCUCAGCCAAAACUAUCACAGCAACGCAAGAAGGUGACAUUUUUCAAAAAGGCAUCCUCACUCCCCUUUUUCCUCAGGUCCUUGCCGACGCGAGACUUUCUCACAGACUUCUUCACUUUCAAACUGGCCAACGCGCCGGCAGCCUUGAGUUCGGAUUUCAUCGCAACCGGGACAACUUUGGAGACAGGGGGCACGGAGGAUUUUGCAACCUCGCUCGAAGUGCCUUGUCCAAGCUUUUCUUUCUUCUUCUGAGCCUUGAGGCUGGAGGUCUUUAGUUUAGCUUUUUCAACCUCGAGCACGACGAUCGCUUGGUUGUCAUCCUUCUUUGAAGUCCCUGCCGCGACCUUAAGAGCGAUCCUCUUGACUUUCCUCUUUUUCCCUCUGCCACUGCCACCAGCCUGCUCCGAGCCUAUUGCGCUAGUUUCUCGCAUCCAUUUCAAAAUCUUACAAGGUUUGGGGUGAGGCGCAACCUCAACCUCUAGUUCUUCAAACACACGAUUGACCCGAAGCUCGUGUGCGACGAUCCCACGGGCCAAUGACAGCUAAAUCUUAGUGCAGGGGCCAAUAAUAUCAAUGUCAUGUUUCUGAACAUCAUCUGCAAAAAGACCGGGGUUGGCACCCUCGGGCAGCUCCACCCCGAAGCGAGGGUAAGGGAGUGGGCUAGUACUCCACGGAACCUCCUUCAGCACAAUCUCCAGCGGACACCACCCAUCAGAAAGGGGCCAAAUGUUAGUUGCCAGAAACUCUUCAAUGAAUCCCGCCCGGGGAUCAACUUCGAGGCUAGGAGGAAAGCGCCCUCGCGUUCAUUGACUACCUUGGACCUCGUAAAAGCAGAGGUAGUACUAAUGUCCAUAGGGCCUAAGGGAGCAUAGAAGGGAUAGAAAGGUCGGCUAAUACCAAACGCAUCGGCCAUAUCAAUCUUAAUAUAGAACUAGUAGCUUAGCCAGUCGUCUUCCCACCUAUUCCUCUAUGCAUAAGAAAGCACAAUCCUCUUGAUUCCUUGCUUCUCAUUGUUCUUCCUCCGAGCCGUGAAGCUACAGCACCCAAACUGUGUCUCAAAAAUACCCUCCUCGUCAUCAAACAUAACUCUCUUCCUCUGGAUAUGGAGUUCAAACAAUCUCGUGAAACCAUCGACAUCAAUGUGACCGCCAAAAGUACGCUGCACCCAAUAGAACUUGGACAGAGCAACAAAGGCAUUCGGAGUGAGAUGAUGAAGCCUUGCCUUGUAUUGGUCCAAGAUCAUAUGCAAUUCCUUGUCACACGAAAAUCUCAAUCCGACAAUGAAAAAAAUCCUUGAACACAAUAGCCUCGCCUACCCUAGGCGCUAGCACAUCUUCGUCACCAGGUGCCCUAGCGAAACCCUCGGGGAAGUAGCCCUUGUCAACAUAAUACUUUAUCAUGUUGUUGGAAACCAAAGACUUCUCGAACUGCAUGGUAGGGACGUAUACUUCCUUUGCUGCCAUUAGCUCUAACGGAUCUGCCUCGACGCCUGUAAGGUCCUCUCUACUUUCGGAGCUACUCUCAGAGUCACCGCUGCCUGCGUUACCCUCGUCACCGUAGGUUAGCUUCGCGGCGUCCUCGAUGGCCUUAUCCACAUCCAGGUCUUCCUCAGCCUUGUUGGAAAGCCUAGUCUGUUCAGCAAACUCCUCUGAUGUCAUGGGCCUUGUGGUUCGCAUACUACAAGCCAGCUGCAAAGCAUCAAAACAUCAUCUCAGAAAUAAAAGCAAAGGAAAAACUCACAGUAAAAGAGAGACACAAAUAACAUCAUUACCUUCGAGAUCCUUGAGGCCAAGGACAACAGCAUACGCCACACGAACCUCAAAGCACGGAAGCAACGAGCAAAGCAGGAGUACAAAAGGUCUGAGCCGUGAGGGUAAAAACAAAAGCGACCUGCACCCCACCCCCCACCCUUUAUAGGAGCGUUAAAGGGCGCGAAACGGCGCCUAAAACCUCGAGCCAAAUAUGAAGGGUCAUCCAAUAGGAAAGCGACACAAUACACCAAAAAGGUAACCGUUGGCUCAUUUCUAACCGACGCUCGAGGGUGACAUUUUUUAGGAUAAGAUCGUUAAGUCGCGGGUUCGGUCGUCGGUGUCGAGCCUCGCCCACGAGGGGCUACUGUUGGGGAUUGUCCAAAAAAUAUGGUCACCCUUGAGGUCGUUUUUUUUUACCAUGAUCAACUCAGCCCCGCAAAAUAAGUAGCCUCAGGUGAGGGUUCCUAACCUCGAGGAACAAAUCUGGCAUGAAAGACAGCUCUAACCUCGCGACGCUGCCGCGAGGUCAGUCUCGAAGAUGGGAAACAAUUACUGAUUGUCAAGCACUAAUCAAGCUUACCCUUGAGUGCUCAAAGAUGACUCCGAGCGCCGAGUUGUCCACUAUCUUAUGUAGUGUCGUUGAAACAAGCCGUGGUUCACGGUGCGGAGGUGGGGUCUCUUUGGCCCAAGGCUAAGGUGGUCUCGGGCCAGAGGUCAAAGUCAUGGAGGUGCUGAAAACGUGGGAGCGUGAUUCGCGGGACUUGCUGAGAGCGUGAUUCGCGGGAUUGCCUGAACGCGUGGGAAGCAUGAUUAAAGGAGGAGACCAAGUCAUACAAGUUACCUCUUAAAAAGACUUCUAUGUAAAGCAUAUUCUAGUAACGUAGUGGGUGAGUAAGGAUAAUUGCGGAAUUUAAAGUGUCCUCCGAGAUACUAUAAAAAAGGAGAGCCCUGUAACGUUACGUUCAUUUUCAUGGAAUUGAAUCGCAGCAACUGAAACUUUCAGUUGUUUCCCAACAUCAGCACUGUUUCCCUAUAUUACACUUGUAUUUUCUGCACAUCAAAUGGAUAUGCACAUCAAAUGAGCUAUUAUUUCCGUUCGAAACCAAAAAAGAUCGAUAUGUUGCAUUGAUUCAGAUUGAAUUUUACGCCAAGCUUACAUGGUGAUUCUGAUUGAAUUAUUUAUCCUAAUUUUUAUAUGGGGUUGCUGAAUCAGGCGAGCCCAUUAAUUAGUAACACAUCUUGAUGUGUCGGCGGGUCAACCGUGUUAACGUGCAUGCUACUUGCACAACUGUAUUAUACUCUCACGAUGGACAAAUUUUCUGCCUACAAAUAGCGCAUCUGCAUUGCUAUCCCAACAUGCACUUCUCCUCCUCUCCAUCUGAUCUCUUCCUAUAGCUAUAGCUGCAACAACUAGCUAGUCCUGAUCACCAUGGCUGCCGCGAUGCUCAAGAUGGCCAUUGUUGCCGCCUGCAUCGCGCUGGCCCUGCUCUCCAUGGGUCCGCCGGCGGCGAUGGCUGACAUCCAGGACGACUGCCGCGCGACUUGCCGUGGUCUCUGCGAUGGCUUCGGUACGAACACGUGCAAUAACAUCAUUGCCAUCGCCCCUGCUGUCCUGAACAAUAUCAACUUCUUCUUCACGACGUGCAAAGUGAGGGUCACUGGGCUGUGCGCGUCCUUCUGCGUCACUACCUGCAGCCUCAACACCGUGACGCCGGCCAGCCCGCCGCCACCACCAUGCAAGCCAUAAUUGGUCUAUGCGUAUUACUACAGCAUGAAUGUAAUUCAAGUCCCGGCCGUAGAUCCGGGUAUUUGCGUUUAAUUCUAAUUUCCCUUUGAUUGUUCCGGUUGUCGUGUCACACCUGCAUAUGUAAUUCAAGUCCAGUCAUGCAUUAUUGUGCACACCUGCAUAUGUAAUUUUAUUUGAAAAGGUUAUUACCUAUCUUGAGAAAUUUACGGCUAUUAUUUUUACCGCAAUAUAUUUACCUGCAUUGUACCUUCCAUCACAAUACUAUGGUUAAUUUUUCUAUUUCUCUAUCUUCUAUCUCUUCCCAAAAGUUUGAGCUGAUGUGCUCCUCCCUCCUCUCGGACACAAUUCCACUACUGGAUACUCCCUCCGUUUUUAUUUAUAAGGUGCACACACAUAUCAAGAUUCAAACUUUGCAAUCUUUGACCAAUAACGUGACCAUUAAUCUUUUAUUUGUAUAAUAUAAACUUUGUAUGGUUGGAUUCAAAAUCAAAUAUACUCUACUGUGAUUAUAAGUUUAUAAUCAUAAGUAAUAUCAUAUAAGAAAAAUGAAUGUCAUCAAAGUGUUAUUUAGAAGAUCGUGCCAAAUCAUACUAUACCUUAUAAAAAUAGAUGGAGGGAGUACUACCCUAACUGCAUUAAAUAGAUCGUUGAUGUUUUGCCACCAAAACCCCCAAUGUUGAUCUUCCACCACCAUGGCUAGAGGCACAACGCCACACAACCCCGCCACACAACCCCCACCCCACCCCCCACCCCCCCACUCCGUUGCCUCCAGCAGGCUAGCAUACGCCCAUGGUCUCCCCCUAAGCGUGCCCCUCAUCCAACCUGAACCCUAAACAUCACCAACAAAAAUUGGACAACAUAGCUACAACCCUCGACUGUAUGUGGUCGCAGAGGCUUGAUAUUUUUUUUCCACUUUCUAAAAAAACAAUAGCAAAAACAAUAGCAAACCCUGCCGAUCGUGAUAUGGACAGUCAGCAACCCUAUUUCUCCGAAUUUUCAUAUGCAGGGACUGGAUGACAGGUUCAUUAUAAACUCCCUCAGUCAAUGGUGCUCAUUAGAAAAUGUUACACAUGCUGGUACGCUGGUGUGUAUGCAUGUAAUAUCUCAUUAACUACUACAACGAAUGAAAUGCAUGCUAAUGCAUUCAAACGCUCUAAGGGCCUGUUUGUUUCCCUCCUGGAUUGUAUAAGCCGGAUUAUGGUUAAAGGGUAGGAGGAUAAAAGGUCAUCAUGGGACCACUAGGGGACCCCAAAUAAGCUAGCCUUUGGUAGCUUAUUUCAGAUUAUAUGUGGUCCCAAAAUGAUAUUUUACCAUAGUAUUCAAGACCCAUAAUCCGACUUAUAUAAUUUAGGUGGAUUAUAAUCCCAAACAAACAGGCCUAUACCUUCUAAUGCUCAUCACACUGCUUGCUGCGUCAGCCACGCUUGCAAACGUGCAUGCUACUUGCACCACGCUGCUCGUUAGUCAGCAGUUUGUAGCAGCCAUGCAUGUUAUCAUUUUCUAUCAACGAAUCUCAGGAGCAAGCAUACACGUACGUACGUGAUGGCACAAUUGUGUACAGCGGAUGCCUAUAUCUUGCUAGACUAAUAGGAGAGAGUACGUUUGGAAUGUCGAUGCUAAUCAUAGCGAUCAAAACGCGCUAGAAAAAAUUGAUAAAUCCUUCUUGUUCUUCUUUUUGUUCUCGACCAUUAUGAUUCCUUAUGGUAUUUGGAUGGAAUGAACUUGGGGAUAAGAGUGAGUGAGCGAGCAACACUUUAUCUUUGGAUAUGAUCCCAAGUUGCAUGCUUUUUUUUCCCAGGUGCAUAGUUGUAUGAUGCUUGAGCUAUAGCAUUGCCAAAUUCAUCACUGUUUCCCCUAUUACACUGGUAUUUUCUUCACAUCAAAUGGAUCCACUAGCCGAGCUAUUUUUUUUGUUGGAAAUCGAAAAGAUCUGUUGCAUUCAUUCAGAUUGAAUUUUACGACAAGCUUAGAGGUUGAUCCUGAUUCGGGCAGCAGGGCAAUCUUAUUUAUCCUAAUUUUUAUAUGGGGUUACUGAAUCAUUGCGAGCUCAUUAUGAACUGCCAGCAGUAGUCAACGGUACUCCUGCUAGCACCAAACCUUUUAAUUCUAUUAUUGGUGUGGGUGUGGGUCAACCUGUUUACGUGUUGCAUGUGCGCUACUUGCACAACUGUACAUGAACCGAGGGGGGAACGUUGUUGAAAGUCCAGUCAUUCCUCACAGACCAAAUGCUCCAGGUCAUCAGGAUAGUGAUCUCCAUGAAGAAGGGUACAUUCAGCUUGUGUUGGAUAGAGCUGAGUAUCCGGAGUGGAUGUCUGGUGGUAACCGUUGUUACUCCAAUGGAUGACCAGCAGGUUUUUGCAAAGUUGCAUCUGAAAAAGAGAUGUGCCAUUGUCUCUCUUUUUUGAAGGAUGCAAUGCUCACAGGUAUAGGAUUCAAGGCUCAUUGUUUUCCUGCCUAGGAUAUCCUUGGUACUUAGUCUGUCUUUACUUAGCAGCUAGAAAAACACCUUAUAUUUCUUUUGGCGUUUCGACUUCCACAGCCAUCGCUGGAUUGGGUGGACACUUCUCAGGCCCAUCACGGCCUUGUAAGUUUUCGCAACUGAGAAGUGGGGGCUGCCCCAGAUGUAGGUCUACUGAUCUCUAUCCUGCUGAGUGACAACAUUCCUCAUUCUAUUUUGCAGAGUAAGUAGCUGUUGAUGGGCUUCUCCGAGAGUGGCAGAUGGAAGUUGUGAGAUAGGGAAGGUCUCCUAAUGGCUUCUUUGUAUGUGAUUAGCUUGUUUUUAGCGAACGAAGAGAGCUGGGGAAAUUCCAGGGAGAGAACCUGCUCGUUCCAUGUGUCCAUCCAGAAUAAGAUAGUACAACCAUCCGAAACCCAUACUGAGGCUAUUCCUUUGUAUUUGUGUAGUAAUUUUACUACGUCUUUCCACCAAAAUGAGCCUUUUUGUUUAUGUCCAAGCAGUUUUCCAUUAUCAUAGUAGUUGUCUCAGACUAGAUGUACCUAUGCGAUGUCUGCCUUCGUGAAGAACUUAUGGAGGAACUUGAGCAGGAGAGCCUCAUCUUGGCUAUUCAGAUUAAUGACUCCAAGUCCUCCUUGCUGUUUGGGCAGGCAUACCAUAGGCCAGGCCGCUUUGGAUGGCUUUUUAGAUGAUAAGUCAGAUCCUCGCCAGAGGCAAUGCUUCCUAUAUUUGUCCAGUUGAGAGAUGAACCCCUUGUGAAGCUUCAGAGUGGCUAUAUGGAACAUUGGUGAGGACGAGAACACCGAAUUAACCGGCUCUAGUUUGCCCCCGUGGGAUAGCACGUUGGAGAUACCCCCUAUCCUUCUCUCCACUUUCUUGAUUAGGGGUAGAAAUUCCUCAAUAUUAGGCUUUGUUGUUCCUAGUAGGAGUCCCAGAUAAGUGAAAGGAAAGCUUCCAACCUGAAAGUCAACAACUGAUGAGAGUUUUUGUAGUUUUUCCUCAGGAGUGUUCAGGGGGACCAUAAAAGAUUUGUUGUAAUUGACCUUAAGUCCUGUUGAGUCUGCAAAAAGGUUUAGCAAAUGCUUUAGAUGCAGCAGCUGAACUGGGUCAGCUUCCAUGACCAGUAAGGUAUCAUGUGCGUAUUGGAUAACUAGGAAAUCUAGACCAGCUCUUUCAGGUAUUGGCAAUUGUAAGCUUCCUUCCUCUUUGGCCUCAUUCAAAAUAGAUUGAAGGAGGUUCGCUACUAGCACAAAGAGGAGUGCAGACAGUGGAUCCCCUUGCCUGACCCCUCGUCUGCAGUGGAAGACUUUCCCUGGUACUCCAUUGAGUAGAAUUGAGGAUGUUCCAGAACUGAGGAUGUCCUUAAUCCAUCCUAUCCAUCUAUCCCAAAGCCUUUGUGUUUUAGGAUGUCCAAGAUUGCUUGGUGUUCUAUUCUAUCAAAUGCCUUCUCGAAGUCAAGCUUGAGAAUGAUGAGCUCCUUCUUGGAAGUCUUACAAAUGUGUAGAUAUUCAAAUGCUGAGGCUAAACAAUCUUGAAUAGAUCUGAAUUUUAUGAAACCAUAUUGGUUCUGAUGUAGUAGCCUUAGGAUGAUCUUCUGAAGCCAUUCUGCUAGGAGCUUGGUUAUUAGCUUGAUGGUUGAGUUAAGGAGGGAGAUAGGUUUGAAAUCUCCGACUUCCAUGGGGCAGUCUUUUUUGGGGAUGAGUGUGAUGUAGGAGGCAUUGAUAUUUGGACGCAUACUCUUUUGUCAUAGAACCCCUCACAUAAUUCAUCGAAGUCUUCAGCAAUUACCUGCUAGCAUGUCUUGAGGAAUUCCCCAUCGAAGCCAUCUGGGAUAGGUGACUUGUUGCUUGGAAGAUCCUUGAUAAUUUGGUCAAUUUCUUCUUUUGAGAAGGAAGCUUCCAGCCAUUCUAAAUCCACAACUGGUGUCAAAAGAGAGGGGAGUUCAAAGUACAUGUGGGUAAUUAAGAUCUCCCCAUCCUUUCUUUGUAAGCUUCCCAAAAGAGGUGAGCUUUAGCUUCAUGAUCAGACAAAGACUACCCAUUGGCAUCUGUUAGUGAGGAGAUGUAAUUGAUCCUAUUUCUGACAGAGGCCCGAGCAUGAAAAAAUCUUGUACUUUCAUCCCCCAUUUUUUGCCCAGUUAAUAGAGCUUCUCUGCUGCCAAUAGACCUUUUGUUGAUGAAGAAGGCUAUUAAGAUGCGAUGAUAUGAUUUCCCUAAAGUUCCACUCCUGCAGGGUGAGUUCUCUGGUUUCUUCGAUGAUAUCUAAGAGCUGCAGGACAUCUUUUGUGGUCUGAAUUGUUUUGGCCAAACUGGGAAGUUGAGACUUCCAAGUCCUGAAAACCUUUCUCAUGUUUUUGAAUUUGGCUCCUAUGUUCUUUGCCUUGUCCGAGCUGGGAAAAGGUGACACCCAUCCUUGUUGGAGAAUGAAAGGGGAUUGAUCAUGCUCUAGCCAAUAGUUCUCAAAACGGAAGACCUGUGGUGUUGGUAGGCUAUUAGAGAUCGACACAAUGCAAGGGUUAUGAUCCGACGAGUCCCUGGAUAACGAGGAGGCAAAUGUGUUGGGAUAAGUUAUAAUCCAAGAGCUAGAGAUGAAAAAUCAAUCUAGUCUCUCCAGCAAGGGGAUGAUUUGUUUGUUGGACCAAGUGUACUUGCAACCUUUAAGGUGUAUCUCUGUUAACCUAAGCCUGCUAACUGCUUCCUUGAAGAGAAGCAUUUCCUUGACAUUUCCUCCCGAUUUGUUUCUGUCCUCUAGUUCCCUGAGAAGAUUGAAGUCCCCAACUAUUAGCCAUUUUUCAUCCUCAGGCAUUUCUAUCCAUUUGAACUAAUCUAUAAAAGGCAUCUUCCCCUCUGGGGUGCAGGGAGCGUAAAUAUUAGCGAGGGUCCACCUGUCUCCUGAUAGCUUGCAUUGUUGUUUCGGAAGAUAGGCUGACCCUUGAGCUUCGAGCCAUUCCAUGCUAUUAGAGUGCCCCUCGAGUUACCAGUGGAUGGGAGGAAGUCAAACAAAUCUAGUUGGGGGGUGGCAGAAAUUCCGGAUGUAUCUUGUGUCAAAAGAUUCACGUUUAGUCUCAUGUAGACAAACAAUAUCGUAGUUGGACUCAGAAAUUUUACUUUUGACUACGUUCCAUCUUGUCUGGGAGUUGAUGCCCCUAACAUUCGAGGAUAACAUGUUCCAGGAUCUUUUUUGGUUCAUUUGGAAAUGGUGUGUGCUUGGUAAUACCUCACUGCCGGCUCAACAAACAGUGGCAAAAUAAGCGUGGAAAGGAUAAACCUUGAAUCAAAAAGCCAAAAAGGAGGGGAUGAACCCCUCAAAUUCUUUGAAGCAACACAACCACAAUAAGGUAAAUCCCACAUUAACCAAACAGCAAAAUAACUAUUCCUAGGAAGUUUAAACCACCAACAUAAUGUGAUUUGCAACAUAAAGAUAAAUGAAAGAUACUUGUCUUCACUAAAACAGACCAGCUGCAAGAUCCAACCAUGUCCCAGAUCCCUAGUGCUUCUUGAUUGUAUCCCAGGCGUUGUCUGUUUUGGCCCGAUAUUUCUUCGCUUUCCCCUUACGCGGAAUAUCCACCGAGGCCUUUUCCUUUCCAUCUCCAAUGGUCUUCUGAGAGGUGGGCUUGGAGAUCAAUAGAUCAUCAGUGGUUGAGGCAGAGUCGAUGCCACACACCUGCCCACCUAGGUCUUCAAUGCUUGAAGAAGAGAGAGAUGGUGGCGCUGCGUUGCAAGCGAGGCAGUUUCUAUCCUGGCAAGUUUUCUUGCGAAAUCCUCCCCUUCUAUCUUUGAGCCUAUUGCUUCUCCCGAUGCUAGACUCAACUUCCAGCACAGCCCUUGCUCCCAAUCUAGCCCUAGCUUUCUUUGGAGCCUUUUGUUUUUCUAGCUCAGGUCCGAUUCCUUCAGAGGAGAAGAAGUACCAGUCUCCUCCUACUCAUUAAGAAAAAUAACCGGGCUGCUACUGAGGCACAAAGAACGGAUGGCGAAGGCCGUCAUGGCAGAUGAAUCAGUGCAGCUUAGCAAUGCCUCCUUGGCUCUGGAGGCUAGGAACUUCUUGGCCGAAUCGAAGUGUUGGGGGGAUAGCAACACCACUAUGAAGAAAUUGGCCCAAUGUGUUGGUAUGUGAACCACCUACUCAAGAUAUCCUACAGGAGAGAAAACCUGGGCCCAAAUCAUGUAGACAUUUGGAUUUUGACUUGGAGCUGAGGCCCUGGGGUGGUAAUGUCCUUGAUGCUAGGUCCAUCUGUCAGAGGAACUUAUUGUCUGAGUCUGCCUAAGAGAAGGUCCAGGUCAUGUGUGUUUGGCUGAACUGGGGUGAGGACCAUGUUGACAUUAAGAUUAACCUAAAAAGGGGCCUCCUAGGCUUGAUUUGGCAAAAUGCCCUGCUGUCCUGGGGGGAUGGCAGGCAACCCCAGCACCACAUCCUAAUCCAUCUCCAUAUCAUUGAGUUGAGCCCCAGCUUGUUCCGCAUGGAAGUCCAUAUUUUGGCCCAAUGGGGGCACUGCAGCCACCACAUCAUCCAAUUCCAUAAUCUGAUUGUUGAGAACCGGUGGGUCUUGCACGAUAGCUUGUGGAACCCUUGAAUUGUAGAUCACCACUGGAAGAGGAUAGUUGUCAGGAGCUGAAGAACUCGAGGAGUGGGUUGGAGGAGAUAGGUUAAGGACACUGGUGGAGGGAGAGCCCGCACUCCACUCUCAACCACAACUGUUGUAAUAUUCCAAAAAUUUGAAAUAUUAUCAUGGUUGUAAUUUUCUCAAAAAUUUGAAAACUUUAUGUAUGGAUGCGUGCGUGUUGCAAACUACUCUAUCUCUCUCUCCUAAAUUCUAAAUUUGAAUAUGUGUGGCAUGAUUUGGAGUUAUGGAUCUUAUUUGGAGUUCUUGUUUGAGUGUUGUAUAAAAGCAAACUCAAUCCCUAAAUUCAAAUUCAUAUUCCAAAUUCAAAUAUGAAAUCAGAUAAAAACAAAAGCAAAACAAACUCCCUCAGCCAGGGCAGCCUACCGUCCCAAAACUGCUUUAAGCUCAGCUUCCCACGCUAACUAACCAGGCCGCCUUUGGCCCAACUUCAACCACUGGCCCGCCUACCCUCUUUCCUCUUUUCCAGCUGCAGCGGGCCACCCACCUUUCUUUCUCUUUUGGCCCAGCCCAAAGCAACCAGCCCUCUUAACCCUUUCCCCUUAGCUUCGUGGGCCGCUCUUCCUUUCCUUCAGGCCGGCUCGCAGGCCACUUUCUUCUUCCACAAACCGUCAGCCCAGCCCGUCUCGACCUCCCCUCUUCUGUUCUUCUUCAACCUCGCACGGACGCAAAAGCUUCACGCACAGGUGCACUACCUCGCAGCUGGGGGUGGCGUGUCCCGCUUCUGGAGGCUUCCACCAGGCGCUUCUGCUACCCCUACUCCACCACCUAACCCCGCUCCCAGGGCCGUCAGAUGCGCCGCAACGGGCUCCAGGUGCGCAACCCUAGGAUCAACGUCCGGGCUACUCUAAGCCCCUCCACUGCCUUGGCCAGGCUAUAAAAUGGGGCUUUGGGCAUGCCCUAAGGCCAUCCCAUCCGCUCCCGGGGCUGCCUGUCCACCACCGCCACCCAGUUGAGAGGAGGGCCGAGUUGAGAAGAAGGGUUGGGAGGAGAAGGAGGAGGCCCUGUCGGAGGAGUCGCUGCCGUCCGCGGGAGAAAUAAGGCGCCGUCCGAGGGAGUACCUGUGCAAGAAGGCACCGUCCGAGGGAGCUCCAGCGAAGAAGGAGGCUCUGUCCAUGUGAAGCGCCGUCGCCAACUUCUUCCUCCUCGCCGCCGUCUACCUCGUCUACUCUGCCGCCACCUCUUCUUCCCCUUCACCGAGACAGCCUCGUAAGCCUCCAAGAUCUCACCUUUCCCCUCUCUCCUGACUACCUGAAACCCUAAAGCCAUGGCCUUUGUGCUACCCUUUGCCUGCUCCGCCUGUGGAAGCGCUUUGUCGCCACUAUCCUUGCACUUGAGCUCGCGUGCACCUCCUUGCUUGCUCUGGCCUCGCUACUUGCGCUGCUCGCCUGGCUUGCCUUUGCCGUUUUCGCGUGCGCCAACUCUGCUGCUUGCCUUUGCAUGCACCGCGCCCGCACACCGCUCGAUCGUGUGCCCACAUCCAGCCAACGCGACGUCGCGCGAGGUUCGCGGUCACCGCGGCCGCAGACUGCGGCAUCGCGACACUGGUUUGCGGUCACCGCCUGCGCGUCGCGCCGCACAGCGUGUCGUUCGCGCACCAUAGCUCGCCGCCUGCCCGCCGUGCGCGCUCCGCACCUCGCCGUGACGCGCCACGGCGCGCCAACACUCGCCGCCGUCGUCGCAAGCCACGUGGCCACCCCGUCACCGCCAUGUGAUAGGUGGGGGCCCACCUGUGGGUCCGCUCGUGGGGCGUACCUUGUGGGGCCCACUGUUGACCUGUGGGGCCCAUGCGUUGACCGUUGACCAUUGACCCAGUAAUGCUUCUUUCUCCUCUUUGCAGGGUCCUCCUCGUAUGCAAUCCCUAUAAUGAAUUUGCAACAUGAGCAGUUGUACAUGAAUCAAUCCACCAAGUAUAUUUUGCAUAACUUAAAUACAAGGACUCAUCUACAAAUGUAAUAAGAUCCUCACCUCUAUAACACACAUGCUUCAGGAAAUCCACACAGCCUUUCUGGUAGUAUUCUUUCUUCUUGCACCACUUGCAAGUGUCCUUGUCCACCACCUCUUCAUGGUUUGAUCUUUGAUGGUGAUCAUACAUUGGAGCCUUUCCAUGUGCCUUAGAAAAAGAGGCGUUCCACUGAGGUUUCCCUUGUGGCUUAGAAUUCUAAAGAUUCCGCUUCUUGUUUUGCCUCAGGUAAUUGAUAGUAUCACUGGACGAGCCCUUAAGCCUCUCUUCUUCUUGCACACACAUGGCAAUCAUCUUCUUAAUACCCCACUUUUCUGGCUAUGAGUUGUAAUUCACAGCAAAGGUCUCAAACUCUUUGGGCAGUGAGGUAAAGAUUAGAAUGGACAAUAAACUCUUUUGGAAGCUCCAUUUCCAUAGACUUAAGCUUGGAAGAUAUAUUGUUCAUUCUCAAUAUGUGAUCCCUUAUUCCACUGCCAAUAUACUUCAUAGUAACAAGCUUUCUUAUGAGAGUGCUUGCAUAUGCCUUUGAUGAUCCAGUAAACUGACUCUCCACAUUUGUCAAGUACUCCUUAGAUCUACAACAGGGACUUCCUAGAGGGGAGAGUGAGAGGAUGACCGACCGUCGGGCUUCAUCAGAGGACGCCAUGGCGGUGCUGGUGACGGUGACGUUGACGCAGAGGUUAGGUGUUGGCGGUGCUUCCCGCCAUUGACAGCAUCUCCAGUAGAUCGGCUAGAGUUUGUUGGUGGGUUUGGUGGGCACAGUGAAUCUUGGUUUGCGUGCCCUCGGCCUCCACCUUUCCUUUUAUUUGGAAAUGUGCGACGGGGCCCCACCAACCAUGACUGGUUGUGCGCCCCCGAUCAGGGUGCGAGAUAAGGCUCGGACUCGUCCGUUGGGGCGAGUCUGUUGGGAGAUCAAACUAACAAAUACAAGUGAGCGAGUGAGGGAGCAACACUUUAUCUUUGGAUAUGAUCCCAAAUUGCAUGCUUUUUUUUUCCUAGGUGCAUAGUUGUAUGAUGCUUGAGCUAUAGCAUUGCCAAGUUCAUCACUGUUUCCCCUAUUACACAGGUAUUUUCUUCACAUCAAAUGGAUCCACUAGCCAUGCUAUUAUAUUUUUGUUGGAGAUCGAAAAGAUCUGUUGCAUUGAUUCAUAUUGAAUUUACUACAAGCUUAGAGGGUGAUCCUGAUUCGGGCGUGCAGCAGGCAAUCUUAUUUAUCCUAAUUUUAACUUGUGUCUGCGUGCAAGAUAUGUUAAAGCAGCAAUAAGCUGCAUAGCCUAACAUUAAAUGCGCACUAUAUGUGCAGAAACUUAUAUUUUCACUCAAAGAUCACAGCGAUUAGGCUCGAGCUUGCAACUCAGAAAAAAGAGAGGCUGCAACAAGCGAUCAAAGGCCGCGUUAACACUCAGAAUAAGCUAUGCUCAGUCUAAACCCCCUCCACGCAAAAGGACGAAUGGCGGGGUGAUAUUUUUCAAAUUGAAAAUUCAUCUUGUCCUUUCGCACCAAAGCUUUAGCCUCAGCCAAAACUAUCACAGCAACGCAAGAAGGUGACAUUUUUCAAAAAGGCAUCCUCACUCCCCUUUUUCCUCAGGUCCUUGCCGACGCGAGACUUUCUCACAGACUUCUUCACUUUCAAACUGGCCAACGCGCCGGCAGCCUUGAGUUCGGAUUUCAUCGCAACCGGCACAACUUUGGAGACAGGGGGCACGGAGGAUUUUGCAACCUCGCUCGAAGUGCCUUGUCCAAGCUUUUCUUUCUUCUUCUGAGCCUUGAGGCUGGAGGUCUUUAGUUUCACUUUUUCAACCUCGAGCACGACGAUCGCUUGGUUGUCAUCCUUCUUUGAAGUCCCUGCCGCAACCUUAGGAGCGAUCCUCUCGACUUUCCUCUUUUUCCCUCUGCCACUGCCACCAGCCUGCUCCGAGCCUAUUGCGCUAGUUUCUCGCUUCCAUUUCAAAAUCUUACAAGGUUUGGGGUGAGGCGCAACCUCAACCUCUAGUUCUUCAAACACACGAUUGAACCGAAGCUCGUGUGCGACGAUCCCACGGGCCGAUGACAGCUCAAUCUUAGUGCAGGGGCCAAUAAUAUCAAUGUCAUGUUUCUGAACAUCAUCUGCAAAAAACCGGGGUUGGCACCCUGGGGCAGCUCCACCCCGAAGCGAGGGUAAGGGAGUGGGCUAGUACUCCACGGAACCUCCUUCAGCACAAUCUCCAGCGGACACCACCCAUCGGAAAGGGGCCAAAUGUUAGCUCCCAGAAACUCUUCAAUGAGAUCCCGCCCGGGGAUCAACUUCGAGGCUAGGAGGAAAGCACCCUCGCGUUCCUUGACUACCUUGGACCUCGUAAAAGCAGAGGUAGUACUAAUGUCCAUAGGGCCUAAGGGAGCAUAGAAGGGAUAGAAAGGUCGGCUAGUACCAAACGCAUCGGCCAUAUCAAUCUUAAUAUAGAACCAGUAGCUUAGCCAGUCGUCUUCCCACCUAUUCCUCUAUGCAUAAGAAAGCUCAAUCCUCUUGAUUCCCUGCUUCUCAUUGUUCUUCCUCCGAGCCGCGAAGCUACAGCACCCAAACUGUGUCUCAAAAAUACCUUCCUCGUCAUCAAACAUAACUCUCUUCCUCUGGAUAUGGAGUUCAAACAACCUCGUGAAACCAUCGACAUCAAUGUGACCACCAAAUGUACGCUGCACCCAAUAGAACUUGGACAGAGCAACAAAGGCAUUCGGAGUGAGAUGAUGAAGCCUUGCCUUGUAUUGGUCCAAGAUCAUAUGCAAUUCCUUGUCACACGAAAAUCUCAAUCCGCCAAUGAAAAAAAUCCUUGAACACAAUAGCCUCGCCUACCCUAGACGCCAGCACAUAUUCGUCACCAGGUGCCCUAGCGAAACCCUCGGGGAAGUAGCCCUUGUCAACAUAAUACUUUAUCAUGUUGUUGGAAACCAAAGACUUCUCGAACUGCAUGGUAGGGACGUAUACUUCCUUUGCUGCUAUUAGCUCUAACGGAUCUGCCUCGAUGCCUGUAAGGUCCUCUCUACUUUCGGAGCUACUCUCAGAGUCACCGCUGCCUGCGUUACCCUCGUCACCGUAGGUUAGCUUCGCGGCGUCCUCGAUGGCCUUAUCCACAUCCAGGUCUUCCUCAGCCUUGUUGGAAAGCCUAGUCUGUUCAGCAAACUCCUCUGAUGUCAUGGGCCUUGUGGUUUGCAUACUACAAGCCAGCUGCAAAGCAUCAAAACAUCAUCUCAGAAAUAAAAGCAAAGGAAAAACUCACAGUAAAAGAGAGACACAAAUAACAUCAUUACCUUCCAGAUCCUUGAGGCCAAGGACAACAGCAUACGCCACACGAACCUCAAAGCACGGAAGCAACGAGCAAAGCAGGAGUACAAAAGGUCUCAGCCGUGAGGGUAAAAACAAAAGCGACCUGCACCCCACCCCCCACCCUUUAUAGGAGCGGUAAAGGGCGCGAAACGGCGCCUAAAACCUCGAGCCAAAUACGAAGGGUCAUCCAAUAGGAAAGCGACACAAUACACCAAAAAGGUAACCGUUGGCUCAUUUCUAACCGACGCUCGAGGGUGACAUUUUUUAGGAUAAGAUCGUUAAGUCGCGGGUUCGGUCGUCGGUGUCGAGCCUCGCCCACGAGGGGCUACUGUUGGGGAUUGUCCAAAAAAUAUGGUCACCCUUGAGGUCGUUUUGUUUACCAUGAUCAACUCAGCCCCGCAAAAUAAGUAGCCUCAGGUGAGGGUUCCUAACCUCGAGGAACAAAUCUGGCAUGAAAGACAGCUCUAACCUCGCGACGCUGCCGCGAGGUCAGUCUCAAAGCCGGGAAACAAUUACUGAUUGUCAAGCACUGAUGAAGCUUACCCUUGAGCGCUCAAAGCUGACUCCGAGCGCCGAGUUGUCCACUAUCUUAUGCAGGGUCGUUGAAACAAGCCGAGGUUCACGGCGCGGAGGUGGGGUCUCUUUGGCCCGAGGCUAAGGUGGUCUUGGGCCAGAGGUCAAAGUCAUGGAGGUGCUAAAAACGUGGGAGCGUGAUUCGCGGGACUUGCUGAGAGCGUGAUUCGCGGGAUUGCCUGAACGCGUGGGAAGCAUGAUUAAAGGAGGAGACCAAGUCAUACAAGUUACCUCUUAAAAAGACUUCUAUGUAAAGCAUAUUCUAGUAACGUAGUGGGUGAGUAAGGAUAAUUGCGGAAUUUAAAGUGUCCUCCGAGAUACUAUAAGAAAGGAGAGCCCUACCCAAUGUAACGUUACGUUCAUUUUCAUGGAAUUGAAUCGCAGCAACUGAAACUUGUUUCCCAACAUCAGCACUGUUUCCCUAUAUUACACUUGUAUUUUCUGCACAUCAAAUGGAUAUGCACAUCAAAUGAGCUAUUAUUUCCGUUCGAAACCAAAAAGAUCGAUAUGUUGCAUUGAUUCAGAUUGAAUUUUACGCCAAGCUUACAUGGUGAUUCUGAUUGAAUUAUUUAUCCUAAUUUUUAUAUGGGGUUGCUGAAUCAGGCGAGCCCAUUAAUUAGUAACACAUCUUGAUGUGUCGGCGGGUCAACCGUGUUAACGUGCAUGCUACUUGCACAACUGUAUUAUACUCUCACGAUGGACAAAUUUUCUGCCUACAAAUAGCGCAUCUGCAUUGCUAUCCCAACAUGCACUUCUCCUCCUCUCCAUCUGAUCUCUUCCUAUAGCUAUAGCUGCAACAACUAGCUAGUCCUGAUCACCAUGGCUGCCGCGAUGCUCAAGAUGGCCAUUGUUGCCGCCUGCAUCGCGCUGGCCCUGCUCUCCAUGGGUCCGCCGGCGGCGAUGGCUGACAUCCAGGACGACUGCCGCGCGACUUGCCGUGGUCUCUGCGAUGGCUUCGGUACGAACACGUGCAAUAACAUCAUUGCCAUCGCCCCUGCUGUCCUGAACAAUAUCAACUUCUUCUUCACGACGUGCAAAGUGAGGGUCACUGGGCUGUGCGCGUCCUUCUGCGUCACUACCUGCAGCCUCAACACCGUGACGCCGGCCAGCCCGCCGCCACCACCAUGCAAGCCAUAAUUGGUCUAUGCGUAUUACUACAGCAUGAAUGUAAUUCAAGUCCCGGCCGUAGAUCCGGGUAUUUGCGUUUAAUUCUAAUUUCCCUUUGAUUGUUCCGGUUGUCGUGUCACACCUGCAUAUGUAAUUCAAGUCCAGUCAUGCAUUAUUGUGCACACCUGCAUAUGUAAUUUUAUUUGAAAAGGUUAUUACCUAUCUUGAGAAAUUUACGGCUAUUAUUUUUACCGCAAUAUAUUUACCUGCAUUGUACCUUCCAUCACAAUACUAUGGUUAAUUUUUCUAUUUCUCUAUCUUCUAUCUCUUCCCAAAAGUUUGAGCUGAUGUGCUCCUCCCUCCUCUCGGACACAAUUCCACUACUGGAUACUCCCUCCGUUUUUAUUUAUAAGGUGCACACACAUAGCAAGAUUCAAACUUUGCAAUCUUUGACCAAUAACGUGACCAUUAAUCUUUUAUUUGUAUAAUAUAAACUUUGUAUGGUUGGAUUCAAAAUCAAAUAUACUCUACUGUGAUUAUAAGUUUAUAAUCAUAAGUAAUAUCAUAUAAGAAAAAUGAAUGUCAUCAAAGUGUUAUUUAGAAGAUCGUGCCAAAUCAUACUAUACCUUAUAAAAAUAGAUGGAGGGAGUACUACCCUAACUGUAUAUUAAAUAGAUCGUUGAUGUUUCGCCACCAAAACCCCCAAUGUUGAUCUUCCACCACCAUGGCUAGAGGCACAACGCCACACAACCCCGCCACACAACCCCCACCCCACCCCCCACCCCCCCACUCCGUUGCCUCCAGCAGGCUAGCAUACGCCCAUGGUCUCCCCCUAAGCGUGCCCCUCAUCCAACCUGAACCCUAAACAUCACCAACAAAAAUUGGACAACAUAGCUACAACCCUCGACUGUAUGUGGUCGCAGAGGCUUGAUAUUUUUUUUCCACUUUCUAAAAAAACAAUAGCAAAAACAAUAGCAAACCCUGCCGAUCGUGAUAUGGACAGUCAGCAACCCUAUUUCUCCGAAUUUUCAUAUGCAGGGACUGGAUGACAGGUUCAUUAUAAACUCCCUCAGUCAAUGGUGCUCAUUAGAAAAUGUUACACAUGCUGGUACGCUGGUGUGUAUGCAUGUAAUAUCUCAUUAACUACUACAACGAAUGAAAUGCAUGCUAAUGCAUUCAAAUGCUCUAAGGGCCUGUUUGUUUCCCUCCUGGAUUGUAUAAGCCGGAUUAUGGUUAAAGGGUAGGAGGAUAAAAGGUCAUCAUGGGACCACUAGGGGACCCCAAAUAAGCUAGCCUUUGGUAGCUUAUUUCAGAUUAUAUGUGGUCCCAAAAUGAUAUUUUACCAUAGUAUUCAAGACCCAUAAUCCGACUUAUAUAAUUUAGGUGGAUUAUAAUCCCAAACAAACAGGCCUAUACCUUCUAAUGCUCAUCACACUGCUUGCUGCGUCAGCCACGCUUGCAAACGUGCAUGCUACUUGCACCACGCUGCUCGUUAGUCAGCAGUUUGUAGCAGCCAUGCAUGUUAUCAUUUUCUAUCAACGAAUCUCAGGAGCAAGCAUACACGUACGUACGUGAUGGCACAAUUGUGUACAGCGGAUGCCUAUAUCUUGCUAGACUAAUAGGAGAGAGUACGUUUGGAAUGUCGAUGCUAAUCAUAGCGAUCAAAACGCGCUAGAAAAAAUUGAUAAAUCCUUCUUGUUCUUCUUUUUGUUCUCGACCAUUAUGAUUCCUUAUGGUAUUUGGAUGGAAUGAACUUGGGGAUAAGAGUGAGUGAGCGAGCAACACUUUAUCUUUGGAUAUGAUCCCAAGUUGCAUGCUUUUUUUUCCCAGGUGCAUAGUUGUAUGAUGCUUGAGCUAUAGCAUUGCCAAAUUCAUCACUGUUUCCCCUAUUACACUGGUAUUUUCUUCACAUCAAAUGGAUCCACUAGCCGAGCUAUUUUUUUUGUUGGAAAUCGAAAAGAUCUGUUGCAUUCAUUCAGAUUGAAUUUUACGACAAGCUUAGAGGUUGAUCCUGAUUCGGGCAGCAGGGCAAUCUUAUUUAUCCUAAUUUUUAUAUGGGGUUACUGAAUCAUUGCGAGCUCAUUAUGAACUGCCAGCAGUAGUCAACGGUACUCCUGCUAGCACCAAACCUUUUAAUUCUAUUAUUGGUGUGGGUGUGGGUCAACCUGUUUACGUGUUGCAUGUGCGCUACUUGCACAACUGUACAUGAACCGAGGGGGGAACGUUGUUGAAAGUCCAGUCAUUCCUCACAGACCAAAUGCUCCAGGUCAUCAGGAUAGUGAUCUCCAUGAAGAAGGGUACAUUCAGCUUGUGUUGGAUAGAGCUGAGUAUCCGGAGUGGAUGUCUGGUGGUAACCGUUGUUACUCCAAUGGAUGACCAGCAGGUUUUUGCAAAGUUGCAUCUGAAAAAGAGAUGUGCCAUUGUCUCUCUUUUUUGAAGGAUGCAAUGCUCACAGGUAUAGGAUUCAAGGCUCAUUGUUUUCCUGCCUAGGAUAUCCUUGGUACUUAGUCUGUCUUUACUUAGCAGCUAGAAAAACACCUUAUAUUUCUUUUGGCGUUUCGACUUCCACAGCCAUCGCUGGAUUGGGUGGACACUUCUCAGGCCCAUCACGGCCUUGUAAGUUUUCGCAACUGAGAAGUGGGGGCUGCCCCAGAUGUAGGUCUACUGAUCUCUAUCCUGCUGAGUGACAACAUUCCUCAUUCUAUUUUGCAGAGUAAGUAGCUGUUGAUGGGCUUCUCCGAGAGUGGCAGAUGGAAGUUGUGAGAUAGGGAAGGUCUCCUAAUGGCUUCUUUGUAUGUGAUUAGCUUGUUUUUAGCGAACGAAGAGAGCUGGGGAAAUUCCAGGGAGAGAACCUGCUCGUUCCAUGUGUCCAUCCAGAAUAAGAUAGUACAACCAUCCGAAACCCAUACUAAGGCUGUCUAGUAAUUUAACUACGUCUUUCCACCAAAAUGAGCCUUUUUGUUUAUGUCCAAGCAGUUUUCCAUUAUGAUAGUAGUUGUCUCAGACUAGAUGUACCUAUGGGAUGUCUGCCUUCGUGAAGAACUUAUGGAGGAACUUGAGCAGGAGAUCCUCAUUUUGGCUAUUCAGACUAAUGACUCCAAGUCCUCCUUGCUGUUUGGGCAGGCAUACCAUAGGCCAGGCCACUUUGGAUGGCUUUUUAGAUGAUAAGUCAGAUCCUCGCCAGAGGCAAUGCUUCCUGUAUUUCAGUUGAGAGAUGAACCCCUUGUGAAGCUUCAGAGUGGCCAUAUGGAACAUUGGUGAGGGCGAGAACACCGAAUUAACCAGCUCUAGUUUGCCCCCGUGGGAUAUCAUGUUGGAGAUACCACCUAUCCUUCUCUCCACUUUCCUGAUUAGGGGUAGAAAUUCCUCAAUAUUAGGCUUUGUUGUUCCUAGUGGGAGUCCUAGGUAAGUGAAAGGAAAACUUCCAACAUGACAGUCAAAAACUGAUGAGAGUUGUUGUAGUUUUUCCUCAGGAGUGUUCAGGGGGACCAUAACAGAUUUGUUGUAAUUGACCUUAAGUCCUGUUGAGUCUGCAAAAAGGUUUAGCAAAUGCUUUAGAUGCAGCAGCUGAACUGGGUCGGCUUCCAUGACCAGUAAGGUAUCAUGUGCGUAUUGGAUAACUAGGAAAUCUAGACCAGCUCUUUCAGGUAUUGGCAAUUGUAAGCUUCCUUCCUCUUUGGCCUUAUUCAAAAUAGAUUGAAGGAGGUCCACUACUAGCACAAAGAGGAGUGGAGACAGUGGAUCCCCUUGCCUGACCCCUCGUCUGCAGUGGAAGACUUUCCCUGAUACUUCAUUGAGUAGAAAUAAGGAUGUUCCAGAACCGAGGAUGUCCUUAAUCCAUCCUAUCCAUCUAUACCCAAAGCCCUUGUGUUUUAGGAUGUCCAAUAUGGCUUGGUGUUCUAUUCUAUCAAAUGCCUUCUCAAAGUCAAGCUUGAGAAUGAUGAGCUCCUUCUUGGAAGUCUUACAAAUGUGUAGGUAUUUAAAUGCUUAGGCUAAACAAUCUUGAAUAGAUCUGGAUUUUAUGAAACCAUAUUGGUUCUGAUGCAGUAGUCUUAGGAUGAUCUUCUGAAGCCAUUCUAUUAGGAGCUUGGUUAUUAUCUUGAUGGUUAAGCUAAGGAGGGAGAUAGGUUUGAAAUCUCCGACUUCCAUGGGGCAGUCUUUUUUGGGGAUGAGUGUGAUGUAGGAGGCAUUGAUAUUUGCACGCAUACUCUUUUGUCAUAGAACCCCUCACAUAAUUCAUAGAAGUCUUCAGCAAUUACCUGCUAGCAUGUCUUGAGGAAUUCCCCAUGGAAGCCAUCUGGGCCAGGUGACUUGUUGCUUGGAAGAUCCUUGAUAAUUUGGUCAAUUUCUUCUUUUGAGAAGGGAGCUUCCAGCAAUUCUAAAUCCAGAACUGGUGUCAAAAGAGAGGGGAGUUCAAAGUACAUGUGGGUAAAUAAGAUCUCCCCAUCCUUUCUUUGUAAGCUUCCCAAAAGAGGCGAGCUUUAGCUUCAUGAUCGGAGAAAGACUACCCAUUGGCAUUUGUUAGUGAGGAGAUGUAAUUGAUCCUAUUUCUGACAGAGGCCCAAGCAUGAAAAAAUCUUGUACUUUCAUCCCCCAUUUUUUGCCCAGUUAAUAGAGCUUCUCUGCUACCAAUAGACCUUCUGUUGAUGAAGAAGGCUAUUAAGAUCUGAUGAUAUGAUUUCCCUAAAGUUCCACUCCUGCAGGGUGAGGUCUCUGGUUUCUUCGAUGAUAUCUAAGAGCUGCAGGACAUCUUUUGUGGUCUGAAUUGUUUUGGCCAAACUGGGAAGUUGAGACUUCCAAGUCCUGAAAACCUUUCUCAUGUUUUUGAAUUUGGCUCCUAUGUUCUUUGCCUUGUCUGAGCUGGGAAAAGGUGACACCCAUCCUUGUUGGAGAAUGAAAGGGGAUUGAUCAUGCUCUAGCCAGUAGUUCUCAAAACGGAAGACCUGUGGUGUUGGUAGGCUAUUAGAGAUCGACACAAUGCAAGGGAUAUGAUCCGACGAGUCCCUAGUCUUUAAGCCUAUUGCUUCUCCCGACGCUAGACUCAACUUCCAGCACAACCCUUGCUCCCAAUCUGGCAUUGGCUUUCUUUGGAGCCUUUUGUUCUUCUAGCUCAGGGUCUGAUUCCUUCAGAGGAGAAGAAGUACCAGUCUCCUCCUACUCAUUAAGACAAAUAACCGGGCUGCUACUAGGGCACAAAGAGUGGAUGGCGAAGGCCAUCAUGGCAGAUAAAUCAAUGCAACUUAGCAGUGCCUCCUUGGCUCUGGAGGCUAGGAACUUCUUGGCCCAAUCGAAUUGUUGGGGGGAUAGCAACACCACUAUGAAGAAAUCGGCCCAAUGUGUUGGUAUGUGAACCACCUGCUCAGGAUAUCCUAUAGGAGAGAAAAACUGGGCCCAAAUCCUGUAGACAUUUGGAUUUUGACAUGGAGCUGAGGCCCUGGGAGUGGUAAUGUCCUUGAUGCUAGGUCCAUCUAUCACAGGAAUUGAUUGUCUGAGUCUGCCUAAGAGAAGGUCCAGGUCAUGUGUGUUUGGUUGAACUUGGGUGACUACCAUGUUGACAUUAAGAUUAACCUGAAAAGGGGCCUCCUGGGCUUGAUUUGGCAAAAUACCCUGCUGUCCUAGGGGGAUGGCAGGCAACCCCAGCACCACAUCCUGAUCCAUCUCCAUAUCAUUGAGUUGAGCCCCAGCUUGUUCUGCAUGGAAGUCCAUAUUUUGGCCCAAUGGGGGCACUGCAGCCACCACAUCAUCCAAUUCCAUAAUCUGAUUGUUGAGAACCGGUGGGUCUUGCACGAUCACCACUGGAAGAGGAGCUGAAGAGCUCGAGGAGUUGGUUGGAGGAGACAGGUUAAGGUCACCGGCGGAGGGAGAGCCCGCACUCCGCUCUCAACCACAACUGUUGUAAUAUUCCAAAAAUUUGAAAUAUUAUCAUGGUUGUAAUUUUCUCAAAAAUUUGAAAACAGUAUGUAUGGACGUGUGCGAGUUGCAAACUACUCUAUCUCUCUCUCUCCUAAAUUCUAAAUUUCAAUAUGUGUGGCAUGAUUUGGAGUUAUGGAUCUUAUUUGGAGUUCUUGUUCGAGUGUUGUAUAAACGCAAACUCAAUCCCUAAAUUCAAUUUCAUAUUCCAAAUUCAAAUAUGAAAUCAGAUAAAAACAAAAGCAAAACAAACUCCCUCAGCCAGGCCAGCCUACCAGCCCAAAACUGCUUUCAGCUCAACUUGCCACGCUAAGUAACCAGGCCACCUUCGGCCCAACUUCAACCGCUGGCCCGCCUACCCCCUUUCCUCUUUUCCAGCAACAGCGGGCCACCCACCUUUCUUUCUCUUUUCGCCCAGCCCAAAGCAACCAGCCCGCUUAACCCUUUCCCCUUAGCUUCGUGGGCCGCUCUUCCUUUCCUUCAGGCCGGCCCGCAGGCUACUUUCUCCUUCCACAAACCGCCAACCCAGCCCGUCUCGACCUCCCCUCUCCUAUUCUUCUUCAACCUCGCACGGACGCAAAAGCGUCGCGCGCAGGUGCACUACCUCGCGGCUGGGGGUGGCGUGUCCCGCUUCUGGAGGCUUCCACCAGGCGCUUCUGCUACCCCUACUCCGCCACCUACCCCCGCUCCCAGGGCCGUCGGAUGCACCGCAACAGGCUCCAGGUGCGUAACCCUAGGAUCAACGGCCAGGAAACUCUAUGACCCUCCACUGCCUUGGCCAAGCUAUAAAAUGGGGCUUUGGGCGUGCCCUAAGGCCAUCCCAUCCGCUCCGAGGGCUGCCUGUCCACCACCGCCACCCAGUUGAGAGGAGGGCCGAGUUGAGAAGAAGGGUUGGGAGGAGAAGGAGGAGGCCCUGUCGGAGGAGUCGCUGCCAUCCGCGGGAGGAAUAAGGCGCCGUCCGAGGGAGUACCUGCGCGAGAAGAAGGCACCGUCCGAGGGAGCUCCAGCGAAGAAGGAGGCGCCGUCCAUGUGAAGCGUCGUCGCCAAUUUCUUCCUCCUCACCACCGUCUACCUCAUCUACUCCACCACCACCUCUUCUUCCCCUUCACCGAGACAGCCUCGUAAGCCUCCAAUAUCUCACCUUUCCCCUCUCCUAACUACCUGAAACCCUAAAGCCAUGGCCUUUGUGCUACCCUUUGCCUGCUCCGCCCGUGGAAGCGCUUGUCGCCACUGUCCUUGCAUUUGAGCUCGCGUGCACCUCCUUGCUUGCUCGCGCCUCACUACUUGCGCUGCUCGCCCGGCUUGCCUUGGCUGUUUUCGCGUGCGCCAACUCUGCUGCUUGCCUUUGCAUGCACCCGCCCGCGCACCGCUGGGUCGUGUGCCCGCGUCUAACCGACGCAACGUCGCGCGAGGUUCGCGGUCACCACGGCCGCUGGCUGCGACAUCGUGAUGCCGUUCGCGGUCACCGCCUGCGCGUCACGUGGCACAGCGCAUCGUUCGUGCACCGCACUCACCGCCUGCCCGCUGUGCGGGCUUCGCAGCUCGCCGUGACACGCCACGGCGCACCAGCACUCGCCGUCGCCAUCACAAGCCACGUGGCCGCCCCGUCAGCGCCAUGUGGCAGGUGGGGGCCCACUUGUGGGUCCGCCCAUGGGGCAUACCUAUGGGGCCCACCGUUGACCAGUGGGGUCAAUGCGUUGACCGUUGACCAUUGACCCAGUAAUGCUUCUUUCUCCUCUUUGCAGGGUCCUCGUCGUAUGCAAUCCCUAUAAUGAAUUUGCAACAUGAGCAGUUGUACCUGAAUCAAUCCACCAAGUAUAUUUUGCAUAACUUAAAUACAAGGACUCAUCUACAAAUGUAAUAAGAUCCUCACCUCUAUAACACACAUGCUUCAGGAAAUCCACACAGCCUUUCUGGUAGUAUUCUUUCUUCUUGCACUACUUGCAAGUGUCCUUGUCCACCACCUCUUCAUGGUUUGAUCUUUGAUGGUGAUCAUACAUUGGAGCCUUUCCAUGUGCCUUAGAAAAAGAGGUGUUCCACUGAGGUUUCCCUUGUGGCUUAGAAUUCUAAAGAUUCCGCUUCUUGUUUUGCCUCAGGUAAUUGAUAGUAUCACCGGACGAACCCUUAAGCCUCUCUUCUUCUUGCACACACAUGGCAAUCAUCUUCUUAAUACCCCACUUUUCUGGCUAUGAGUUGUAAUUCACAGCAAAGGUCUCAAACUCUUUGGGCAGUGAGGUAAAGAUUAGAAUGGACUAAAAACUCUUCUAGAAGCUCCAUUUCCAUAUACUUAAGCUUGGAAGACAUAUUGUUCAUUCUCAAUAUGUGAUCCCUUAUUCCACUACCAAUAUACUUCAUAGUAACAAGCUUUCUUAUGAGAGUGCUUGCAUAUGCCUAUGAAGAUCCAGUAAAUUGACUCUCCACAUUUGUCAAUUACUCCUUAGAUCUACAACAGGGACUUCCUAGAGGGGAGAGUGAGAGGAUGACCGACCGUCGGGCUUCAUCAGAGAACGCCAUGGCGGUGUUGGUGACGGCGACGUUGACACAGAGGUUAGGUGUUGGCGGUGCUUCCCGCCGCUGACAGCGUCUCCAGUAGAUCAGCUAGGGUUUGUUGGUGGGUUUGGUGGGCACAGUGAACCUUGGUUUGCGUGCCCUCAGCUCCCACCUUUCCUUUUAUUUGGCGCUGUGUGACGGGGCCCCACCAACCAUGACUGGUUGUGCGCCCCCGAUCAGGGCACGAGAUAAGGCUCGGACUCGUCCGUUGGGGCAAGUCCGUUGGUAGAUCAAACUAACAAAUACAAGUGAGCGAGUGAGCGAGCAACACUUUAUCUUUGGAUAUGAUCCCAAAUUGCAUGCUUUUUUUUCCCAGGUGCAUAGUUGUAUGAUGCUUGAGCUAUAGCAUUGCCAAAUUCAUCACUGUUUCCCCUAUUACACAGGUAUUUUCUUCACAUCAAAUGGAUCCACUAGCCAAGUUAUUAUUUUUUUGUUGGAGAUCGAAAAGAUCUGUUGCAUUGAUUCAGAUUGAAUUUACUACAAGCUUAGAGGGUGAUCCUGAUUCGGGCGUGCAGCAGGCAAUCUUAUUUAUCCUAAUUUUAACUUGUGUCUCCGUGCAAGAUAUGUUAAAGCAGCAAUAAGCUGCUUAGCCUGGCAUUAAAUAUGCACUAUAUGUGCAGAAACUUAUAUUUUCACUCAAAGAUCACAGCGAUUAGGCUCGAGCUUGCAACUCAGAAAAUAGAGAGGCUGCAACAAGCGAUCAAAGGCUGCGAUAACACUCAGAAUAAGCUAUGCUCAGUCUAAACCCCCUCCGUGCAAAAGGACGAAUGACAGGGUGACAUUUUACAAAUUGAAAAUUCAUCUUGUCCUUUCGCACGAAGGCUUUAGCCUCAGCCAAAACUAUUGCAGCAACGCAAGAAGGUGACAUUUUUCAAAAAGGCAUCCUCACUCCCCUUUUUCCUCAGGUCCUUGCCGACGCAAGACUUUCUCACAGACUUCUUCACUUUCAAACUAGCCAACGCAACGGCAGCCUUGCGUUCGGAUUUCAUCGCAACCGGGACAACUUUGGAGACAGGGGGCACGGAGGAUUUUGCAACCUCGCUCGAAGUGCCUUGUCCAAGCUUUUCUUUCUUCUUCUGAGCCUUGAGGCUGGAGGUCUUUAGUUUCGCUUUUUCAACCUCGAGCAUGACGAUCGCUUGGUUGUCAUCCUUCUUCGAAGUCCCUGCCGCGACCUUAGGAACGAUCCUCUCGACUUUCCUCUUUUUCCCUCUGCCACUGCCACCAGCCUGCUCCAAGCCUAUUGCGCUAGUUUCUCGCAUCCAUUUCAAAAUCUUACAAGGUUUGGGGUGAGGCGCAACCUCAACCCCAAGUUCUUCAAACACAUGAUUGACCCGAAGCUCGUGUGCGACGAUCCCGCGGGCCGAUGACAGCUCAGUCUUAGUGCAAGGGCCAAUAAUAUCAAUGUCAUAUCUCUCAACAUCAUCUGCAAAAAGACCAGGGUUGGCACCCUCGGGCAGCUCCAACCCGAAGUGAGGGUAAGGGAGUGGGCUAGUACUCCACGGAACCUCCUUCGGCACAAUCUCCAGCGGACACCACCCAUCAGAAAGGGGCUAGAUGUUAGCUGCCAGAAACUCUUCAACGAGAUCCCGCCCGGGGAUCAACUUCGAGGCUAGGAGGAAAGCGCCCUCACGUUCCUUGACUACCUUGGACCUUGUAAAAGCAGAGGUAGUACUAAUGUCCAUAGGGCCUAAGGGAGCAUAGAAGGGAUAGAAAGGUCGGCUGAUACCAAACGCAUCAGCCAUGUCAAUCUUAAUAUAGAACCAGUAGCUUAGCCAAUCGUCUUCCCACCUAUUCCUCUAUGCAUAAGAAAGCUCAAUCCUCUUGAUUCCUUGCUUCUCAUUGUUCUUCCUCCGAGUCGCGAAGCUACAGCACCCAAACUGUGUCUCAAAAAUACCUUCCUCGACAUCGAACAUAACUCUCUUCCUCUGGAUAUGGAGUUCAAACAACCUCGCAAACCCAUCAACAUCAAUGUGACUGCCAAAUGUACGCUGCACCCAAUAGAACUUGGACAGAGCAACAAAGGCAUUCGGAGUGAGAUGACGAAGCCUUGCCUUGUAUUGGUCCAAGAUCGUAUGCAAUUCCUUGUCACACGAAAAUCUCAAUCCGACAAUGAAAAAAUUCCUUGAACACAAUAGCCUCGCCUACCCUAGGCGCCAGCACAUCUUCGUCACCAGGUACCCUAGCAACACCCUCGGGGAAGUAGCCCUUGUCAACGUAAAACUUUAUCAUGUUGUUGGAAACCAAAGACUUCUCGAACUACAUGGUAGGGACGUAUACUUCCUUUGCUGCCAUUAGCUCUGACCGAUCAGCCUCGACGCCUGUAAGGUCCUCUCUACUUUCGGAGCUACUCUCGGAGUCACCACUGCCCGCGUUACCCUCGUCACCGUAGGUUAGCUUCGCGGCGUCCUCGAUGGCCUUAUCCACAUCUAGGCCUUCCUCAACCUUGUUGGAAAGCCUAGUCUGUUCAGCAAACUCCUCUGAUGUCAUGGGCCUUGUGGUUCGCAUACUACAAGCCAGCUGCAAAGCAUCAAAACAUCAUCUCAGAAAUAAAAGCAAAGGAAAAACUCACACUAAAAGAGAGACACAAAUAACAUCGUUACCUUCGAGAUCCUUGAGGCCAAGGAAAACAGCAUAUGACACACGAAUCUCAAAGCACGGAAGCAACGAGCAAAGCAGGAGCGCAAAAGGUCUCAGCCGUGAGUGUAAAAACAAAAGCGACCCACACCCUACCCCCCCACCCUUAAUAGGCACGGUAAAGGGCGCGGAACGGCACCUAAAACCUCGAGCCGAAUACGAAGGGUCAUCCAAUAGGAAAGCGACACAUUACACCAAAAAGGUAACCGUUGGCUCAUUUCUAACCGACGCUCGAGGGUGACAUUUUUUAGGAUAAGAUCCUUAAGUCGCGGGUUCGGUCGUCGGUGUCGUGCCUCGCCCACGAGGGGCUGCUGUUGGGGAUCGUCCAAAAAAGAUGGUCACCCUUGAGGUCAUUUUGAUAACCAUGAUCAACUCAGCCCCACAAAAUAAGUAGCCUCGGGCGAGAGUUCCUAACCUCGAGGAACAAAUCUGGCAUGAAAGACAGCUCUAACCUCGCAACGCUGCCGCAAGGUCAGUCUCGAAGAUGGGAAACAAUUACUGAUUGUCAAGCACUAAUCAAGCUUACCCUUGAGUGCUCAAAGAUGACUCCGAGCGCCGAGUUGUCCACUAUCUUAUGUAGUGUCGUUGAAACAAGCCGUGGUUCACGGUGCGGAGGUGGGGUCUCUUUGGCCCAAGGCUAAGGUGGUCUCGGGCCAGAGGUCAAAGUCAUGGAGGUGCUGAAAACGUGGGAGCGUGAUUCGCGGGACUUGCUCAGAGCGUGAUUCGCGGGAUUGCCUGAAGGCGUGGGAAGCAUGAUUAAAGGAGGAGACCAAGUCAUACAAGUUACCUCUUAAAAAGACCUCUAUGUAAAGCAUAUUCUAGUAACGUAGUGGGUGAGUAAGGAUAAUUGCGGAAUUUAAAGUGUCCUCCGAGAUACUAUAAAAAAGGAGAGCCCUGUAACGUUACGUUCAUUUUCAUGGAAUUGAAUCGCAGCAACUGAAACUUUCAGUUGUUUCCCAACAUCAGCACUGUUUCCCUAUAUUACACUUGUAUUUUCUGCACAUCAAAUGGAUAUGCACAUCAAAUGAGCUAUUAUUUCCGUUCGAAACCAAAAAAGAUCGAUAUGUUGCAUUGAUUCAGAUUGAAUUUUACGCCAAGCUUAGAGGGUGAUUCUGAUUGAAUUAUUUAUCCUAAUUUUUAUAUGGGGUUGCUGAAUCAGGCGAGCCCAUUAAUUAGUAACACAUCUUGUCGGCGGGUCAACCGUGUUAACGUGCAUGCUACUUGCACAACUGUAUUAUACUCUCACGAUGGACAAAUUUUCUGCCUACAAAUAGCGCAUCUGCAUUGCUAUCCCAACAUGCACUUCUCCUCCUCUCCGAUCUCUUCCUAUAGCUAUAGCUGCAACAACUAGCUAGUCCUGAUCACCAUGGCUGCCGCGAUGCUCAAGAUGGCCAUUGUUGCCGCCUGCAUCGCGCUGGCCCUGCUCUCCAUGGGUCCGCCGGCGGCGAUGGCUGACAUCCAGGACGACUGCCGCGCGACUUGCCGUGGUCUCUGCGAUGGCUUCGGUACGAACACGUGCAAUAACAUCAUUGCCAUCGCCCCUGCUGUCCUGAACAAUAUCAACUUCUUCUUCACGACGUGCAAAGUGAGGGUCACUGGGCUGUGCGCGUCCUUCUGCGUCACUACCUGCAGCCUCAACACCGUGACGCCGGCCAGCCCGCCGCCACCACCAUGCAAGCCAUAAUUGGUCUAUGCGUAUUACUACAGCAUGAAUGUAAUUCAAGUCCCGGCCGUAGAUCCGGGUAUUUGCGUUUAAUUCUAAUUUCCCUUUGAUUGUUCCGGUUGUCGUGUCACACCUGCAUAUGUAAUUCAAGUCCAGUCAUGCAUUAUUGUGCACACCUGCAUAUGUAAUUUUAUUUGAAAAGGUUAUUACCUAUCUUGAGAAAUUUACGGCUAUUAUUUUUACCGCGAUAUAUUUACCUGCAUUGUACCUUCCAUCACAAUACUAUGGUUAAUUUUUCUAUUUCUCUAUCUUCUAUCUCUUCCCAAGAGUUUGAGCUGAUGUGCUCCUCCCUCCUCUCGGACACAAUUCCACUACUGGAUACUCCCUCCGUUUUUAUUUAUAAGGUGCACACACAUAUCAAGAUUCAAACUUUGCAAUCUUUGACCAAUAACGUGACCAUUAAUUUUUUAUUUGUAUAAUAUAACUUUGUAUGGUUGGAUUCAAAAUCAAAUAUACUCUAUUGUGAUUAUAAGUUUAUAAUCAUAAAUAAUAUAAUAUAAGAAAAAUGAAUGUCAUCAAAGUGUUAUUUAGAAGAUCGUACCAAAUCAUACUAUGCCUUAUAAAAAUAGAUGGAGGGAGUACUACCCUAACUGCAUUAAAUAGAUCGUUGAUGUUUUGCCACCAAAACCCCCAGUGUUGAUCUUCCACCACCAUAGCUAGAGGCACAAUGCCGCACAACCCCCCCCCCCCCUCCUACUCCGUUGCCUCCAGCAGGCUAGCAUACGCGCGCCCAUGGUCUCCCCCUAAGCUUGCCCCUCAUCCAUCCUGAACCCUAAACAUCGCCAACAAAAAUUGGACAACAUAGCUACAACCCUCAACUGUAUGUGGUCCCAGAGGCUGGAUAUUUUUUUCCACUUUCUAAAAAAACAAUAGCAAACCCUACCGAUCGUGAUAUGGACAGUCAGCAACCCUAUUUCUCCCAAUUUUCAUAUGCAGCGACUGGAUGACAACUUCAUUAUAAACUCCCUCAGUCAACGGUGCUCAUUAGAAAAUGUUAUACAUACUUGUAGGCUGGUGUGUGUGCAUGUAAUAUCUCAUUAACUACUACAACGAAUGAAAUGCAUGCUCAUCCUACUGUAAUGCAUUCAAACGACUCUAAGGGCCUGUUUGUUUCCCUCCUGGAUUAUAUAAGCCGGAUUAAAGGGUAGGAGGAUAAAAGAUCAUCAUGGGAUCACUAGGGGACCACAGAUAAUCUGAAAUAAGCUAGCCUUUGGUAGCUUAUUUCAGAUUAUACGUGGUCCCAAAAUGAUAUUUUACCAUAGUAUUCAAGACCCAUAAUCCAACUUAUCUAAUUUAGGUGGAUUAUAAUCCCAAACAAACAGGCCUAUACCUUCUAAUGCUCAUCACACUGCUUGCUGCGUCAGCCACGCUUGCAAACGUGCAUGCUACUUGCACCACGCUGCUCGUUAGUCAGCAGUUUGUAGCAGCCAUGCAUGUUAUCAUUUUCUAUCAACGAAUCUCAGGAGCAAGCAUACACGUACGUACGUGAUGGCACAAUUGUGUACAGCGGAUGCCUAUAUCUUGCUAGACUAAUAGGAGAGAGUACGUUUGGAAUGUUGAUGCUAAUCAUAGCGAUCAAAACGCGCUACAAAAAAAUUGAUAAAUCCUUCUUCUUCUUUUUGUUCUCGGCCAUUAUGAUUCCUUAUGGUAUUUGGAUGGAAUGAACUUGGGGAUACGAGUGAGUGAGCGAGCAACACUUUAUCUUUGGAUAUGAUCCCAAGUUGCAUGCUUUUUUUUCCAGGUGCAUAGUUGUAUGAUGCUUGAGCUAUAGCAUUGCCAAAUUCAUCACUUUUUCCCCUAUUACGCUGGUAUUUUCUUCACAUCAAAUGGAUCCACUAGCCGAGCUAUUUUUUUGUUGGAAAUUGAAAAGAUCUGUUGCAUUGAUUCAGAUUGAAUUUUACGACAAGCUUAUAGGUUGAUCCUGAUUCGGGCAGCAGGGCAAUCUUAUUUAUCCUAAUUUUUAUAUGAGGUUAUUUAUCCUAAUUUUUAUAUGGGGUUACUGAAUCAUUGCGAGCUCAUUAUGAACUGCCAACAGUAGUCAACGGUACUCCUGCUAGCACCAAAUCUUUUAAUUCUAUUAUUGGUGUGGGUGUGGGUCAACCUGUUUACGUGUUGCAUGUGCGCUACUUGCAGAACUGUACAUGAACCGAGGGGGGAACGUUGUUGAAAGUCCAGUCAUUCCUCACAGACCAAAUGCUCCAGGUCAUCAGGAUAGUGAUCUCCAUGAAGAAGGGUACAUUCAGCUUGUGUUGGAUAGAGCUGAGUAUCCGGAGUGGAUGUCUGGUGGUAACCGUUGUUACUCCAAUGGAUGACCAGCAGGUUUUUGCAAAGUUGCAUCUGAAAAAGACAUGUGCCAUUGUCUCUCUUUUUUGAAGGAUGCAAUGCUCACAGGUAUAGGAUUCAAGGCUCAUUGUUUUCCUGCCUAGGAUAUCCUUGUACUUAGUCUGUCUUUACUUAGCAGCUAGAAAAACACCUUAUGUUUCUUUUGGCGUUUCGACUUCCACAGCCAUCGGUGGAUUGGGUGGACACUUCUCAGGCCCAUCACGGCCUUGUAAGUUUUCGCAACUGAGAAGUGGGGGCUGCCCCAGAUGUAGGUCUACUGAUCUCUAUCCUGCUGAGUGACAACAUUCCUCAUUCUAUUUUGCAGAGUAAGUAGCUGUUGAUGGGCUUCUCCGAGAGUGGCAGAUGGAAGUUGUGAGAUAGGGAAGGUCUCCUAAUGGCCUCUUUGUAUGCGAUUAGCUUGUUUUUAGCGAAUGAAAAGAGCUGGGGAAAUUCCAGGGAGAGAACCUGCUCGUUCCAUGUGUCCAUCCAGAAUAAGAUAGUAGAACCAUCCGAAACCCAUACUAAGGCUGUCUAGUAAUUUAACUACGUCUUUCCAUCAAAAUGAGCCUUUUUGUUUAUGUCCAAGCAGUUUUCCAUUAUGAUAGUAGUUGUCUCAGACUAGAUGUACCUAUGGGAUGUCUGCCUUCAUGAAGAACUUAUGGAGGAACUUGAGCAGGAGAUCCUCAUUUUGGCUAUUCAGACUAAUGACUCCAAGUCCUCCUUGCUGUUUGGGCAGGCAUACCAUAGGCCAGGCCGCUUUGGAUGGCCUUUUAGAUGAUAAGUCAGAUCCUCGCCAGAGGCAAUGCUUCCUGUAGUUGUCCAGUUGAGAGAUGAACCCCUUGUGAAGCUUCAGAGUGGCCAUAUGGAACAUUGGUGAGUACGAGAACACCGAAUUAACCAGCUCUAGUUUGCUCCCGUGGGAUAGCAUGUUGGAGAUACCACCUAUCCUUCUCUCCACUUUCUUGAUUAGGGGUAGAAAUUCCUCAAUAUUAGGCUUUGUUGUUCCUAGUGGCAGUCCUAGGUAAGUGAAAGGAAAGCUUCCAACCUGACAGUCAAAAACUGAUGAGAGUUGUUGUAGUUUUUCCUCAGGAGUGUUCAGGGGGACCAUAACAGAUUUGUUGUAAUUGACCUUAAGUCCUGUUGAGUCUGCAAAAAGGUUUAGCAAAUGCUUUAGAUGCAGCAGCUGAACUGGGUCGGCUUCCAUUACCAGUAAGGUAUCAUGUGCGUAUUGGAUGACUAGGAAAUCUAGACCAGCUCUUUCAGGUAUUGGCAAUUGUAAGCUUCCUUCCUCUUUGGCCUUAUUCAAAAUAGAUUGAAGGAGGUCCACUACUAGCACAAAGAGGAGUGGAGACAGCGGAUCCCCUUGCCUGACCCCUCGUCUGCAGUGGAAGACUUUCCCUGAUACUCCAUUGAGUAGAAAUGAGGAUGUUCCAGAACCGAGGAUGUCCUUAAUCCAUCCUAUCCAUCUAUCCCCAAAGCCCUUGUGUUUUUGGAUGUCCAAGAUGGCUUGGUGUUCUAUUCUAUCAAAUGCCUUCUCGAAGUCAAGCUUGAGAAUGAUGAGCUCCUUCUUGGAAGUCUUACAAAUGUGUAGAUAUUUAAAUGCUUAGGCUAAACAAUCUUGAAUAGAUCUGGAUUCUAUGAAACCAUAUUGGUUCUGAUGCAGUAGUCUUAGGAUGAUCUUCUGAAGCCAUUCUGCUAGGAGCUUGGUUAUUAGCUUGAUGGUUGAGUUAAGGAGGGAGAUAGGUUUGAAAUUUCCGACUUCCAUGGGGCAGUCUUUUUUUGGGUUGAGUGUGAUGUAGGAGGCAUUGAUAUUUGCACGCAUACUCUUUUGUCAUAGAACCCCUCACAUAAUUCAUAGAAGUCUUCAGCAAUUACCUCCUAGCAUGUCUUGAGGAAUUCACCAUUGAAGCCAUCUGGGCCAGGUGACUUGUUGCUUGGAAGAUCCUUGAUAAUUUGGUCAAUUUCUUCUUUUGAGAAGGGAGCUUCCAGCAAUUCUAAAUCCAGAACUGGUGUCAAAAGAGAGGGGAGUUCAAAGUACAUGUGGGUAAUUAAGAUCUCCCCAUCCUUUCUUUGUAAGCUUCCCAAAAGAGGCGAGCUUUAGCUUCAUGAUCGGAGAAAGACUACCCAUUGGCAUAUGUUAGUGAGGAGAUGUAAUUGAUCCUAUUUCUGACAGAGGCCCAAGCAUGAAAAAAUCUUGUACAUUCAUCCCCCAUUUUUUCCCAGUUAAUAGAGCUUCUCCGCUGCCAAUAGACCUUCUGUUGAUGAAGAAGGCUAUUAAGAUGUGAAGAUAUGAUUUCCCUAAAGUUCCACUCCUGCAGGGUGAGGUCUCUGGUUUCUUCGAUGAUAUCUAAGAGCUGCAGGACAUCUUUUGUGGUCUGAAUUGUUUUGGCCAAACUGGGAAGUUGAGACUUCCAAGUCCUGAAAACCUUUCUCAUGUUUUUGAAUUUGGCUCCUAUGUUCUUUUCCUUGUCAGAGCUGGGAAAAGGUGACACCCAUCCUUGUUGGAGAAUGAAAGGGGAUUGAUCAUGCUCUAGCCAGUAGUUCUCAAAACAGAAGACCUGUGGUGUUGGUAGGCUAUUAGAGAUCAACACAAUGCAAGGGAUAUGAUCCGACAAGUCCCUGGAUAACGAGGAGGCAAAUGUGAUGGGAUAAGUUAUAAUCCAAGAGCUAGAGAUGAAGAAUCAGUCUAGUCUCUCCAGCAAGGGGUUGAUUUGUUUGUUGGACCAAGUGUACUUGCAACCUUUAAGUUGUAUCUCUGUUAACCUAAGCCAGCUAAUCGCUUCCUUGAAGAUAAGCAUUUCCUGGACAUUUCCUCCCGGUUUGUUUCUGUCCUCUGGUUCCCUGAGAAGAUUGAAGUCCCCAACUAUUAGCCAUUUUUCAUCCUCAGGCAUUUCUAUCCGUUUGAACCAAUCUAUAAAAGGCAUCUUCCCCUCUGGGGUGCAAGGAGCAUAAAUAUAAGUGGGGAUCCACCUAUCUCCCGAUAGCUUGCAUUGUAGUUCGAUGGAAUAAGCGAAGUUGUUUUGGAAGAUAGGCUCACCCUUGAGCUUCAAGCCAUUCCAUGCUAUUAGAGUGCCCCUCGAGUUACCAGUGGAUGGGAGGACGUCAAACAGAUCUAGUUGGGGGGUGGCAGAAAUUCUAGAUGUAUCUUGCGUCAAAAGAUUCACAGUUAGUCUCUUGUUGACAAGCUGGACUCAGAAAUUUUAGUUUUGACUACGUUCCAUCUUCUCUAGGAGUUGAUGCCCCUAACAUACCAGGAUAACACGUUCCAAGAUCGUUUCUGGUUCAUUUGGAAAUGGUGUGUGCUUGGUAAUACCUCACUGCCGGCUCAACAAACAGUGGCAAAAUAAGCGUGGAAAGGAGAAUCCUUGAAUCAAAAAGCCAAAAAGGAGGGGAUGAACCCCUCAAAUUCUUUGAAGCAACACAACCACAAUAAGGUAAAUCCCACAUUAACCAAACAGCAAAAUAACUAUUCCCAGGAAGUUUAAACCACCAACAUAAUAUCAUUUGCAACAUAAAGAUAAAUGAAAGAUAGCUGUCUUCACUGAAACAGACCAGCUGCAAGAUCCAACCAUGUCCCAGAUCCCUAGUGCUUCUUGACUGUAUCCCUGGCGUUGUCCGUUUUGGCCCAAUAUUUCUUCGCUUUCCCCUUGCGUGGAAUAUUUGCCGAGGCCUUUCCCUUUCCAUCUCCAAUGGUCUUCUGAGAGGUGGGCUUGGAGAUUAAUAGAUCAUCAGUGGUUCAGGCAGAGUCGAUGCCACACACCUGCCCACCUAGGUCUUGAAUGCUUGAAGAAGAGAGAGAUGGUGCCGUUGUGUUGCAAGCGAGGCAGUUUCUAUCCUGACAAGUUUUUUUGUGAAAUCCUCCACUUCUGUCUUUGAGCCUAUUGCUUCUCCCGACGCUAGACUCAACUUCUAGCACAGCCCUUGCUCCCAAUCUGGCAUUGGCUUUCUUUGGAGCCUUUUGUUCUUCUAGCUCAGGGUCUGAUUCCUUCAGAGGAGAAGAAGUACCAGUCUCCUCCUACUCAUUAAGACAAAUAACAGGGCUGCUACUAGGGCACAAAGAGUGGAUGGCGAAGGCCAUCAUGGCAGAUAAAUCAAUGCAACUUAGCAGUGCCUCCUUGGCUCUGGAGGCUAGGAACUUCUUGGCCCAAUCGAAUUGUUGGGGGGAUAGCAACACCACUAUGAAGAAACCGGCCCAAUGUGUUGGUAUGUGAACCACCUGCUCAGGAUAUCCUAUAGGAGAGAAAAACUAGGCCCAAAUCCUGUAGACAUUUGGAUUUUGACAUGGAGCUGAGGCCCUGGGGGUGGUAAUGUCCUUGAUGCUAGGUCCAUCUAUCACAGGAAUUGAUUGUCUGAGUCUGCCUAAGAGAAGGUCCAGGUCAUGUGUGUUUGGUUGAACUGGGGUGACUACCAUGUUGACAUUAAGAUUAACCUGAAAAGGGGCCUCCUGGGCUUGAUUUGGCAAAAUACCCUGCUGUCCUGGGGGGAUGGCAGGCAACCCCAGCACCACAUCCUGAUCCAUCUCCAUAUCAUUGAGUUGAGCCCCAGCUUGUUCUGCAUGGAAGUCCAUAUUUUGGCCCAAUGGGGGCAUUGCAGCCACCACAUCAUCCAAUUCCAUAAUCUGAUUGUUGAGAACCGGUGGGUCUUGCACGAUCACCACUGGAAGAGGAGCUGAAGAGCUCGAGGAGUUGGUUGGUGGAGACAGGUUAAGGUCACCGGCGGAGGGAGAGCCCGCACUCCGCUCUCAACCACAACUGUUGUAAUAUUCCAAAAAUUUGAAAUAUUAUCAUGGUUGUAAUUUUCUCAAAAAUUUGAAAACUUUAUGUAUGGAUGUGUGCGAGUUGCAAACUACUCUAUCUCUCUCUCUCCUAAAUUCUAAAUUUCAAUAUGUGUGGCAUGAUUUGGAAUUAUGGAUCUUAUUUGGAGUUCUUGUUUGAGUGUUGUAUAAAAGCAAACUCAAUCCCUAAAUUCAAUUUCAUAUUCCAAAUUCAAAUAUGAAAUCAGAUAAAAACAAAAGCAAAACAAACUCCCUCAGCCAGGCCAGCCUACCGGCCAAAAACUGCUUUCAGCUCAGCUUGCCACGCUAAGUAACCAGGCCACCUUCGGCCCAACUUCAACCGCUGGCCCGCCUACCCCCUUUCCUCUUUUCCAGCUACAGCGGGCUACCCACCUUUCUUUCUCUUUUCGCCCAGCCCAAAGCAACCAGCCCGCUUAACCCUUUCCCCUUAGCUUCGUGGGCCGCUCUUCCUUUCCUUCAGGCCGGCCUGCAGGCCACUUUCUUCUUCCACAAACCGCCAACCCAGUCCGUCUCGACCUCCCCUCUCCUAUUCUUCUUCAACCUCGCACGGAUGCAAAAGUGUCGCGCGCAGGUGCACUACCUCGCGGCUGGGGGUGGCGUGUCCCGCUUCUGGAGGCUUCCACCAGGCGCUUCUGCUACCCCUACUCCGCCACCUACCCCCGCUCCCAGGGCCGUUGGAUGCACCGCAAUGGGCUCCAGGUGCGUAACCCUAGGAUCGACGGCCAGGAAACUCUAUGCCCCUCCACUGCCUUGGCCAAGCUAUAAAAUGGGGCUUUGGGCAUGCCCUAAGGCCAUCCCAUCCGCUCCGAGGGCUGCCUGUCCACCACCACCACCCAGUUGAGAGGAGGGCCGAGUUGAGAAGAAGGGUUGGGAGGAGAAGGAGGAGGCCCUGUCGAAGGAGUUGCUGCCAUCCGCGGGAGGAAUAAGGCGCUGUCCGAGGGAGUCACUGCGUGAGAAGAAGGCACCGUCCGAGGGAGCUCCAGCGAAGAAGGAGGCGCCGUCCAUGUGAAGCGUCGUCGCCAACUUCUUCCUCCUCACCACCGUCUACCUCGUCUACUCCACCACCACCUCUUCUUCCCCUUCGCCGAGACAGCCUUGUAAGCCUCCAAGAUCUCACCUUUCCCCUCUCCUGACUACCUGAAACCCUAAAGCCAUGGCCUUUGUGCUACCCUUUGCCUGCUUCGCCUGUGGAAGCACUUGUCGCCACUGUCCUUGCAUUUGAGCUCGCGUGAACCUCCUUGCUUGCUCGCGCCUCACUACUUGCGCUGCUCGCCCAGCUUGCCUUGGCCGUUUUCGCGUGCGCCAACUCUGCUGCUUGCCUUUGCAUGCACCCGCCCGCGCACCGCUGGGUCGUGUGCCCGCUUCUAACCGACGCAACGUCGCGCGAGGUUCGCGGUCACCAUGGCCGCUGGCUGCGGCAUCAUGAUGCUGUUCGCAGUCACCGCCUGCGCGUCGCGCGGCACAGCGCGUCGUUCGUGCACCGCACUCGCUGCCUGCCCGCUGUGCGGGCUUCGCAGCUCGCCGUGACACGCCACAGCGCACUAGCGCUCACCGCCGCCAUCACAAGCCACGUGGCCGCCCCGUCAGCGCCAUGUGGCAGGUGGGGGCCCACCUGUGGGUCCGCCCAUGGGGCAUACCUGUGGGGCCCACCGUUGACCAGUGGGGUCCAUGCGUUGACCGUUGACCAUUGACCCAGUAAUGCUUCUUUCUCCUCUUUGCAGGGUCCUCCUCGUAUGCAAUCCCUAUAAUGAUUUUGCAACAUGAGCAAUUGUACCUGAAUCAAUCCACCAAGUAUAUCUACAGCACCCAAACUUUUUCUCAAAAAAACCUUCCUCGUCAUCGAACAUAACUCUCUUCCUCUGGAUAUGGAGUUCAAACAACCUCGCGAACCCAUCGACAUCAAUGUGACUGCCAAAUGUACGCUGCACCCAAUAGAACUUGGACAGAGCAACAAAGGCAUUCGGAGUGAGAUGACGAAGCCUUGCCUUGUAUUGGUCCAAGAUCGUAUGCAAUUCCUUGUCACACGAAAAUCUCAAUCCGACAAUGAAAAAAUUCCUUGAACACAAUAGCCUCGCCUACCCUAGGCACAUCUUCGUCACCAGGUACCCUAGCAACACCCUCGGGGAAGUAGCCCUUGUCAACGUAAAACUUUAUCAUGUUGUUGGAAACCAAAGACUUCUCGAACUACAUGGUAGGGACGUAUACUUCCUUUGCUGCCAUUAGCUCUGACCGAUCAGCCUCGACGCCUGUAAGGUCCUCUCUACUUUCGGAGCUACUCUCGGAGUCACCAUUGCCCGCGUUACCCUCGUCACCGUAGGUUAGCUUCGCGGCGUCCUCGAUGGCCUUAUCCACAUCUAGGCCUUCCUCAACCUUGUUGGAAAGCCUAGUCUGUUCAGCAAACUCCUCUGAUGUCAUGGGCCUUGUGGUUCGCAUACUACAAGCCAGCUGCAAAGCAUCAAAACAUCAUCUCAGAAAUAAAAGCAAAGGAAAAACUCACACUAAAAGAGAGACACAAAUAACAUCGUUACCUUCGAGAUCCUUGAGGCCAAGGAAAACAGCAUAUGACACACGAAUCUCAAAGCACGGAAGCAACGAGCAAAGCAGGAGCGCAAAAGGUCUCAGCCGUGAGUGUAAAAACAAAAGCGACCCACACCCUACCCCCCCCACCCUUUAUAGGCACGGUAAAGGGCGCGGAACGGCACCUAAAACCUCGAGCCGAAUACGAAGGGUCAUCCAAUAGGAAAGCGACACAUUACACCAAAAAGGUAACCGUUGGCUCAUUUCUAACCGACGCUCGAGGGUGACAUUUUUUAGGAUAAGAUCCUUAAGUCGCGGGUUCGGUCGUCGGUGUCGUGCCUCGCCCACGAGGGGCUGCUGUUGGGGAUCGUCCAAAAAAGAUGGUCACCCUUGAGGUCAUUUUGAUAACCAUGAUCAACUCAGCCCCACAAAAUAAGUAGCCUCGGGCGAGAGUUCCUAACCUCGAGGAACAAAUCUGGCAUGAAAGACAGCUCUAACCUCGCAACGCUGCCGCAAGGUCAGUCUCGAAGAUGGGAAACAAUUACUGAUUGUCAAGCACUAAUCAAGCUUACCCUUGAGUGCUCAAAGAUGACUCCGAGCGCCGAGUUGUCCACUAUCUUAUGUAGUGUCGUUGAAACAAGCCGUGGUUCACGGUGCGGAGGUGGGGUCUCUUUGGCCCGAGGCUAAGGUGGUCUCGGGCCAGAGGUCAAAGUCAUGGAGGUGCUGAAAACGUGGGAGCGUGAUUCGCGGGACUUGCUCAGAGCGUGAUUCGCGGGAUUGCCUGAAGGCGUGGGAAGCAUGAUUAAAGGAGGAGACCAAGUCAUACAAGUUACCUCUUAAAAAGACCUCUAUGUAAAGCAUAUUCUAGUAACGUAGUGGGUGAGUAAGGAUAAUUGCGGAAUUUAAAGUGUCCUCCGAGAUACUAUAAAAAAGGAGAGCCCUGUAACGUUACGUUCAUUUUCAUGGAAUUGAAUCGCAGCAACUGAAACUUUCAGUUGUUUCCCAACAUCAGCACUGUUUCCCUAUAUUACACUUGUAUUUUCUGCACAUCAAAUGGAUAUGCACAUCAAAUGAGCUAUUAUUUCCGUUCGAAACCAAAAAGAUCGAUAUGUUGCAUUGAUUCAGAUUGAAUUUUACGCCAAGCUUAGAGGGUGAUUCUGAUUGAAUUAUUUAUCCUAAUUUUUAUAUGGGGUUGCUGAAUCAGGCGAGCCCAUUAAUUAGUAACACAUCUUGUCGGCGGGUCAACCGUGUUAACGUGCAUGCUACUUGCACAACUGUAUUAUACUCUCACGAUGGACAAAUUUUCUGCCUACAAAUAGCGCAUCUGCAUUGCUAUCCCAACAUGCACUUCUCCUCCUCUCCGAUCUCUUCCUAUAGCUAUAGCUGCAACAACUAGCUAGUCCUGAUCACCAUGGCUGCCGCGAUGCUCAAGAUGGCCAUUGUUGCCGCCUGCAUCGCGCUGGCCCUGCUCUCCAUGGGUCCGCCGGCGGCGAUGGCUGACAUCCAGGACGACUGCCGCGCGACUUGCCGUGGUCUCUGCGAUGGCUUCGGUACGAACACGUGCAAUAACAUCAUUGCCAUCGCCCCUGCUGUCCUGAACAAUAUCAACUUCUUCUUCACGACGUGCAAAGUGAGGGUCACUGGGCUGUGCGCGUCCUUCUGCGUCACUACCUGCAGCCUCAACACCGUGACGCCGGCCAGCCCGCCGCCACCACCAUGCAAGCCAUAAUUGGUCUAUGCGUAUUACUACAGCAUGAAUGUAAUUCAAGUCCCGGCCGUAGAUCCGGGUAUUUGCGUUUAAUUCUAAUUUCCCUUUGAUUGUUCCGGUUGUCGUGUCACACCUGCAUAUGUAAUUCAAGUCCCGUCAUGCAUUAUUGUGCACACCUGCAUAUGUAAUUUUAUUUGAAAAGGUUAUUACCUAUCUUGAGAAAUUUACGGCUAUUAUUUUUACCGCGAUAUAUUUACCUGCAUUGUACCUUCCAUCACAAUACUAUGGUUAAUUUUUCUAUUUCUCUAUCUUCUAUCUCUUCCCAAAAGUUUGAGCUGAUGUGCUCCUCCCUCCUCUCGGACACAAUUCCACUACUGGAUACUCCCUCCGUUUUUAUUUAUAAGGUGC
RNAcentral lists this long non-coding RNA (76110 nucleotides) under Setaria italica (foxtail millet). Its description in RNAcentral is "long non-coding RNA (SITA_LNC006242)". Lineage: Eukaryota; Viridiplantae; Streptophyta; Magnoliopsida; Poales; Poaceae. The record is from RNAcentral.